CCAUAAAACCUCCCUAAUCUAUUUAAUUUUUAUAUAAAAAUUAUAUAACCAAAUGUUGUAGCUAAUGACUCCUAAAGAUCUAAUCCAAAAACAAUUUCAUUGUUUAUAAGUAAAGAUGUUUUUAUCUAACUAAUCCUUGUUACAUUUACUUAUUUAUUCAAAUAAAUGUCUAUACCUGAUCUAUAUCUGAUCUAUUCUAAAAAAAACAUGUACAUGAUUUAGAAGUAAAACUCAAAGGUUUGUUUUAACAAAAAGUGAUUGCUGUGGAGAUAUAUAUCUAUAUAUAUAUAUAUAUAUAUAUUCUCAAAAAUGAUUCUCCAACUAUUUCUCAUGAUUUCACAAAAAUAUAAUUUCACAUAUUAAUAUGUCAUCUGUUGUCUAUAACCAUCUCAUUUCCACCCUGAUAUGAAAUACAAACUAAACCAACUGACUGCUUCAGACCUCGCAUAUCAGAGCAAGUGUUGGACACAACAACCUUAACAUACAUAACUGAAGGUUUUCCUAAGAUAGUGUACAUGCACGCUUCAACAAGAUAUACAUUUUCGAACACACCCACCGAUGGAGAAUGAUGGCAACCUGUGCGCCUACCGCCUCCUUGUCGAUCCCGUUUGCAAUGUGUGCCUUAAUAGAUCUAUGGAAAGUCACGGUGGUGUUCACAUAAACAACGUGGUUGGCUAAAAGGGACUCUACUCAGACCCAAGUGCAACUGCCUUCUGUCUAUCAAGGUCCUCCACAAAUCCUGCCCCCCCACCACGCGUGAAUUCUAUAAAUGUCACUCAUGCAGAGGUAUCUUUUCAUCUGCCAACUUUCUAGUCUCCAUGCUCUCCAACUCUUGCACUUCUCUUCGACAUGCCAUGCUUUCACAUGCUAACCCAAUCCAUUCCUGCAUAUAGACUAUAAAGCUCCGUUUCAACUAUACUUCGUGGGAACGGGUGCUGUCUGCCGUUUGUACUCUUCCAUCCGAGGUGUCUUCACUAGAAGCCUCGGGACUUUCACUGCUAAGACGCGCUUGAUAAACUCAUAUGAAGCGAAAAAAAGUGCCCCCUGGGUGAUGUAUAUCAAUAUCCGCGGUACUAGUCCCCUGCAAGUGUGUAAAACCUUUGCUCUAAGUUCCAUUUCAAUGCCCCAACACUCUUGGCCAAUUGCACCGAUGCCUGCUGAUGUCCAGCUUCUCAGAGGUUUGCAAUUAAACCCGUUAUAACAUGCACAUCGAGGACGCACUUCCGAGACAAAUGUGCAUAUUUCAGAAAAAUCGCAAGCAUGUAAAAAAAAACAAGUCGUUGACGCCAAAAUAAAGGUCCAACCUAUCUCAAGUCUCAAAAACCUAGAGUUGCAACAAAAUCGCAUACAACUCACCGGUAUAAUCCAGCGACACCCUCGGUAGUGACAAUGCUCUGGAAAACGUGAAUAACCCCAGUGUACUGCUGAGCUGUCCCAGGUAUCUGUCCACCCAAAAUCAGAUUAGUCAAGCCGAUUACAUCCUAUUCGUCACAUCCUACAGACUCACCACCGACUCUCUCAUGUGCUCGACAAAGAACAAAUGCACACAGAAUCCCUUUUCAUGGAACACCCACGAAUCUCAAUACGCACAAUACAAACAGUACAAGUCAUUCCAGAACCAGCUCAAAACCUGCGUUUGCAGCCGAGUCUUGACAACAUCGAAAGGAGUACUGAAUAAAGCAGCAGUCGAGCCAGCAGCACCGCCGAUAACCAGCUGCACAAAAACCAGCGUGUCAGUAUAAAACAUACACGUCCUCAUCAUGUGCAAACCAAGGAGCGAAUAUGCCAGGAAUUACACAUCCACAAACCCAAGUUACAGAUCAUCUUCUUCCUCUCAUUCCACACUGUAACACCACAUCCUCAUUUCACACGAGUCAGCACCCCACCAGGACUCCAUACUUUGCCUUGUCAGCCCAGAAGUGACACAUAACAAUGUCGUGUAACCGGGCAUUAAGUCAGCAGCUCAACAACAAAAACAACACCUGACGAAACAUACCGCUUGUGGUGUGCUCAAAGGGGUGUCACGAGGCUGGCCACGUUGAAUGCAGCGCUUCAGCCCCUCAUAAGUGUAGAACUGUGCAAUCACCACAACACAUCCCAUUAUUUUUCAGAAUCUCCACACAUCACCAAUCCAAAAGUCGUGACUACCAUGCAAAUGGACCGCCAGAGGCAAUCCCCACAUUCAACACCAGAAAGCCACCCACAUCGCAUUCGAUACAAAGACAGAUCCUCCGCCAAACAUUACUCGCAUCGACCCAAUCGCGUCCAACGGCUUUGCCCGACCCUGUCUCAUUUUUGCAAAACCUAUAUACCUACCUCGACACUUGGAAGAUGCAUACCUUCACCACGGAUUGCGGAACAUUGCGACAAAGAACUGCUCCCCAACCCUUGUACAGCGUCGGCAGUCCUUCUUCUUUCAGUAUCGAAGUGAACGCUUCCCUGAGUUAUUCCACAACAACUGCUCAACACCAAUAACUCGGAAUCUUCACAUUUCAGGCAAAUGCGGACCCGAGGAUGCUGGAGAAGCCUUGAGGACACUCCUCACGUGACAGAAGAUCUCAACCACAUUUAAUGUAAACUAUGUGCAAAAACGACAUGGCCAAGCCCACCAGCCCGAGCAUUUCAAAUUUGAAACAUCCGGAUAUUGAACCGUACCAGCUAUUUUCAUACAAUCCGUGCACUUGCAUCCGCUGUUUCACACAGUCACUCGGUGUGUACACGAAGGAGGUGGCUACACUUGCACAUCCCCCAGCAACGCAAUGCGCCAGUGCGGACAUAUCCUGUUUGCAUUCAGUUGACAUCAAGGCGCACAGCCAUCAAUGGCGCCCCCCUCCUUUACACAACACAUUCCAUCGAAAUCCUCCCACACCUCACCCCAGACACACAUGACACCACACCGCAAGAUCGGAAGCUUCAGAACACACUUCAUGUGUUCCAAUAUCAGUAAAGCCGUACCUCUGGAAUGUGGCGGAGCAGACCAGCUUUGACGGUUUCAUAAGUGAGCGUGUAGAUAGCUGAGAUUGGAGCUGACACGGUUAAGUUGCUUCCCAGGCCCCGGUACAAACCUCUCAAACCUGCAGGCAAGACGUCCUCACUCAAGCAAGAUCUACUUAGAACUCUGAAACUCCACAACGAUAAACUUGACCGCAUUGGAUAAAUGUAAAGGCAAGGGCUAUGAAACAGUCACACUUAAAUGCAUACCUCUUUCAGAGAUAACCGCAGACAUAAUGGGAAGGAGGUUGCGGUUGCCACCGGCCCGCGCUUGCACAAGCGUCUUCAAAGUGUCAACGGGAUGCAAGCAAAGGCUAACAACCCCACCUGCCAAUGCUCCAGCGCCUGCAUUCUGCCCCAUCCGAGGGUUCCGUUUCGUCGCACCAUGGUUCGCCAUCAUAGCAUUUGUUGCCGUUGGGACAAGCCCGUUCUCCACUGCUGCCACUGCAGGUUGAACUGCAAAAGGCCACCAGUCGUGAUGCUUAAGUGCAGUGACGCUAUUCUGGCUGGAUUUGACAGCAGCGACAGCUUCACUCACAAAACUGAAGGCUACACAAUUUUUCAGCGAUUUGAUAGUGAGGUUGGAUACUUGGGUCACUCUGUCUAUCAUUUGAGGCAAGAUUUCAGCCGUAUCGUGGAGAAUGGAAGUCUCCAAACACUGCCGAUCUUUGCAUCGCUUUUUGAUCUCAGUAUUAAAGUUGAUAGGAGCCUUCCCAGCAUCUCUACUACCAGGAACAGAGUCGAUGGACCACAUUGAAGGUCCAAUCCCAGUGGUUCCUUUGAAACCCCGAGCGUCUUCUUCUGUCACGUUUUCCUCUACAACUCCACCAGUGCUACCACUGAAACUGUCUGCAAAUUCUUUACUUUUGAAUGCGGCUCGACUUUCCAAAGGAUUGGCACCUCCAAACUUCUGCACGUGGGACCAUAUCUUGGUUGGAAUCUUCGGUGAGCCGGAAUCUUCUAUCACUUCAAAGUAUGCAUCAGGAGCGCAUUUAGAGAUACUUCCAUUAGGGCCAUUCAGCAUGACAGACGCUGCCAACGGGAAGCCCCAUUGGUACCGAACCUCUGGGCAGUAGAAAGCCUCAUAGUAGCGCUGAUCGAGGUCUUCCUCAGAAACGAAAGAGUCACAAACCACGCACUCUGAACAUACAUAACCACAGAAAUCAUGGUUGCGAAUAAAUUUACAGCACCCCUCGCCCUCACAUUGACAUGAAUUUGAGGCUGAGUGAAUUCCUGCCAGACGCAUGGAGACGCCGCCAUACCUACAAGCCCCAGCUCCUCCGAGAGGUUUGGCAAGGUCUGGAAGAGCAUCUAGAGUGGUACUCCUGUUGAAUUCGAAAGAGGAACCCGGACCAUUCCUGAAGUCCUUCUGGGGCUUCUUCAAUGAGAGGAGCGACUUCAUCGCUUGGGUCAAGCCGAAUGCCUUGAGCUGCACAGGAAGAGAGUCUGCUCUUUCAGGCGACAGUAUCAAAGCUGUCAGACCUGAAGGGAGCCAAUCCAGAGGCUGCCCUGGUCCCCCGUUUGUGACGUCCAUCGCAAAUUGUGAAAGCGGCACAACUCUCUGCUGGAUCACAUUAUGGAAGCUCAACUGCCAACCUCAAAAUAAGCCGAAGUAAACUAAAGCGCCAGACGAAAACAUCAGAACACUCUAUUCCAGCUCAUGACAUGGAGCAUGGCGUUGCAACAAUGCCAACGACACUCACCCUCGUCAAGGGUACUUCACACAGAUGCUUUCUCCGAACAUACCCACGUUUAACCUUCAUCUUUACAAACCAGGAAAGCUCGCCAACCUUUCAUAUCGGGUGCACAAUUAGAAUGAAACCUCUGGCUCACAAGGCAACUCACCACUGCCCUACUUCCAGAACUCAAUUACGGCAACCCACCGAGACCUUCGGUAGAUGCAAAACCCUAGAGAAUCGAAAUGAUGGCUCUUUCUAGAGUCCACAAUGCUUCAGAAACCAAGCGGACAUCUCAUGUCCAAUGAAGCUAAGGCAUCGCCGGGGAUGGAAACGAGAUUCUCCUUCAUCCUCAAUUUCGAAAAAAACAACUCAGAAUCCAUCUGAGUUUGCACGGUUCGACAUUGAUCGAGUCUCCACACAUGAGAGUCUUUCUCAAACUGCUUACCAGCGAAACUAUGCCGCCAAUCUGAUUUCAAAAUACAACAACAGAUCAACUGUACAGCUCUGCUCCUUUCGACUCGUCAUCACGAUGCGGCGAGGGUUUUGAGAUAAUCAAUUAUCUCAGCAAUUUUGGAAAAUCGUAUUUCUUAAUUGAAAAAGAAGAGACAGUCCCUUGCGGAUGAAACUCGUACACUCUUGCCGAGACCCGCGGAGUUGGGUCACACUCGGAAGAGAGGCUAUCUCGUAGCGACCCUCGUCACCACGCGUCUCAAACCUCCCAACUCAAUCGACUAGCUCGAGAUAUCCCAGCCGUCAAUUGACGUAGUGACGAGGGUCCACGUUUAUGCGUCCGCCACCCUGCAAAUUCAGUCGCGGUGCUUGCACUGGAACAUCUCGCUCCAGACUCAUUCCAAUUCUCGUAGCUCUGUUUUUUCCUACCACCAUCCCCUCUUCCAUAGGGAAGCUAUUUAAGUUGGAUAGGCCCCUAAGAACAUUGUCCUUGCGCUUGUUUGCAAGUUUCAAGAGCUCUCAAAGAGGUGGGUUGCGCCGCUGUGCAGUAUUCUUGUGUUGUAGAGGUUUAAGCAAUUCGUUCGGCUUCCGCCGCUGUGUGAUCUUGUAGAACUCUCUCUUUAAGGUUUUCGUUCCUACUACUGCCCCCGUCUCAUCUUUCACCAUCUUUUGUGCCGAGACUUGUGAUUUGUAUGGGUUUUUUUUUUUUUUUAACAACACGAGUGCGUCACCGUGGUGGUGAUCACGCAUUGUGUGAUGUGUUCUCUAGUUCUUAGCUAGAUUUUCUCCAUCUUCUUCUUUUUGUUUACUCUCUCUAAGGUCGGUUAUGAUCCUUCUCGCUCUGCCUUGUCGAAUGCUGGUAUAGGGUAUCCAGGUAUUCUACAUUUUUCGCGGUGGUGAUUGUUACGGUGGUCUUAAAUAAGCAUUUGUGUUGGCUUCUGAAUGAUAUUGGUCUGAUUCUGCAUUUCAGGAUAAUUUCUGAAUUAUCCUACAUUUCUUUCGACUGUGAGCAUUUGUUACAAAUUCUUGCUCGAAAAUUUCUCAAAAUGUAUCUGCCCGAUGGUAGGUGGAGUCUUCUGCUACAGAGUUCAUUUGCUCUGCGCAUGACCUGCAUUAAAUCUCUGAAUCUCCACAGUCCUCUUGGAAAGUUGGUCUAAUUUUCCUCAGCUAAACGUUUGUAUUUAGAACCUACAUAUUCUCAUUUUAGUUCUUUUCAUUGCAAUUCGCCGUCUCUGUUGGCGCUGGUAGAGGCUCUCUGCCCUGAUCUCUUGUCCCCUUCCAUGUCGCUUGUCUGCAAGCUUUCUCUCGAGUUGAGAUCAAUUUUAACUUCUCAUGUACUUGAAUGAUGUUACAGCUAAUUGGAAUCGCCUCCUCUGCUAUGGCUAUGGCGGCAUUGGCACCAGCUCAAGCCACCAGCCCCAUCGCUUCAUGUCAAGCUGUACUCAAACCCUCGGCAUUGAAGGAUGCGAGGCACUCAAAGAUUAAUGCUUUGUAUUCUUCUCUGAACGGGACUGCGUGCGUGUUUACAUGCGACUCGCCUCUUAGGAAGGGAGCUUCAGUUUCUCAUGGCCAUGUGCGCUGCACCCUUGCGGAGGAUGUGCAUACCAGGGAUCGAGAUGAUGUCCGAACCUACAAAGGCUAUGAACGUCCUGACUCCUUUGGGAGAUAUGGUGUCUAUGGAGGGAAAUACGUCCCUGAGACCCUUAUGGCUGCUCUUAGUAAUCUGGAGGUAGCAUAUCGUGCAACAAUCAAGGAUCCCGAAUUCCAGGUGAUAAAUGUUACCUCACUCCCGAGCGGAUUUGCGGAGUGCUUUUCUAAAGCGGAAUUGUAAUCCUGAGUAAAUUGCAUGGAUGCUGAGGGCCGAGCUAAUAUGAUUGUCUUAGCGUUUUACAGAAGGAGCUUAAUGGCGUGCUUAAGGACUACGUGGGCAGGGAAACCCCUCUGUACUUUGCUGAACGCCUAACUGAGCACUAUAAGCGUGACGGGAAAGGUCCCUUGAUUUAUCUUAAGCGGGAGGACCUUAACCACACUGGCGCUCACAAGAUCAACAACGCCAUUGCCCAAGCUUUGUUGGCGAAGCGGAUUGGAAAGAAGCGCAUUAUUGCUGAGACAGGGGCAGGUCAGCACGGUGUUGCCACAGCUACAGUAUGUGCUCGCUUUGGACUCGAGUGCAUUGUAUACAUGGGUGCCCAGGAUAUGGAAAGACAAGCUUUGAAUGUAUUCCGAAUGCGUCUUCUUGGAGCUGAGGUAUGGAAUUGCAUGACCCUGCAAGUGAGCUCGAAUGUGAAUACUUAAGAAGCAAGUAGAAUUUAGUAAGUGAGAAAGACAUUGGCACAGAAUGCAACUGGGGUGCUUUAGAAUGUGGGUCCUGAUGGUUAGAUGGAGCGGUUAUUUAGUGCAUGCAGUUUACCUAAACCCUAAUCUCAUGAUGGUUCUUCCUUUUUGAUGCAGGUUCGUCCUGUAAAUUCUGGCACUGCCACCUUGAAAGAUGCAACCUCAGAGGCUAUUCGUGACUGGGUUACGAAUGUGGAAACGACUCAUUAUAUUCUUGGCUCAGUUGCUGGGCCGCACCCGUACCCUAUGAUCGUGAGAGACUUUCAUGCAAUGAUCGGAACUGAGGUUCGUCGCCAGGCAAUGGAAAAGUGGGGUGGAAAGCCGGAUAUUCUUGUCGCUUGUGUUGGGGGAGGCUCAAAUGCAAUGGGGUUAUUCCACGAAUUUAUCGAAGAUGAAGAAACUCGUCUCAUUGGUGUUGAAGCAGCUGGCUUUGGUACUAAUACAGACAAGCACGCUGCCACCUUGACCAUGGGAGAAAUUGGUAUCUUACAUGGUGCAAUGAGCUAUUUGCUCCAGGAUGCUGAUGGCCAGAUUAUUGAACCACAUUCAAUUAGUGCGGGGUAAUCAUCUUCGAAGAGACCUAAGGAUUGUGUUCUCAUUUGAAUCCGAGAUUUGUUACCAGCGUGUUUUUUUUCACUCGGCUGCUUGGCCAACUGCUUGUUCAAACGAGCUUUUUCAUUCAUAACGCAACAAAUGUUCUAGAACAUGGUACUGAUGGGGAGCCUGUGGUGCGCAGAUUGGAUUACCCAGGUGUUGGUCCAGAGCACAGUUUCCUGAAGGAUGUUGGUCGAGCAGAGUACUUCAGCGUGACUGAUGAUGAAGCCCUGGAAGGUAAGAAGAACACUGCAGUAGAAUUUCACUUCAAAUUCGUCAUCUCGUUGUUUUGAGCUUUCUCAUGCUUCUAGGUAAGGUCAAUUGCAGCAGUUCCUGAUUACAUAUCAUUAGUCUCAAAAGUUUAGAGGUUCCGCGGCAUUCAUCAUGGAGACACUGUAUGGGUUAUAAACACUUCCAAGUUUGUGUUCUCUCAUCAGCUACCUUGCUAACGGUACUGUCGCUCUUUUUUGUUGCCAAUGCAGCAUUCCAGAGGUUGUCCAAGCUGGAGGGUAUCAUUCCGGCACUGGAGACAUCUCAUGCCCUAGCUUUCUUGGAAAAACUUUGCCCUACACUUGAAGACGGUACCCGAGUGGUCCUCAAUUGCAGUGGUCGUGGUGACAAGGAUGUCAACAGCGUCAUUGGUUACUUGAAAGGAAAGUACUGAAUCUCAGUAUGAAGAUUGUGGGGAAUGUCUCACUUCAAUUAUUGUCAUUCCACGUUUUUUUGCAAUGAGUUUUUCCAGCCUCUUUAAGAAUUGGUAAGGCAGAGAAGAUGUCUCGUCUUUGCGGGCCAUUGUUGUAAUCGAGAGCAGUGCAUUAUCUGCGCUGAACAGAUAUCAGUCUGGAGGUAUUUAGGUUUAAUACACAGAACAUGGAGUUCUUUUAUAUCCUUUUUCUGCCUUAAGGAGCAUUCACUUGAAGAAUGUUGUUGCUGCAGUGGUUCACAAUGCCUUACAAAGAUAUUGAAGCUGCCCCCCUUAUCCACGUAGUUGUGCAUGUGUUGCUGGCUACAUGCGCCAGUUCACAAUUGACUACAACCUCCUUUUCCAGAGAAACAGAGCUAAGAGCUAUGGAAGCACAUACGAGUGGUUUCUUAACAUGGAAUAUAUAUACAUAUAUAUAUGUGUGUGUGUGUGUGUAAUGUGUGUGUGUGUCCUUCAAAAGGUUCAUUAUAUAUAAAUAGAGACGUUACUGGGGUUGAUACAAGUCAUUAAUGGCAUCCUAAACAAUAUAAUUCUAGACAUUACCAACUUUAAUGCAUAACAAUCUUAGUUGUCACCACAAGAUUUCAAUGUAAAUUGUUUCAAUGUACAAGUGUUUUGGCAAUACACAAAAAUGGUGAUCAGCACUAUAUGUAAUUACCCAUUGCUGGAAUUAUUUAUAAUAUUGCUCACACUGAUUUGGCAAGGUAGCGGAACAAUUUGUGUUUUAUCAUCAUGUAUUCUUGCAUUGUUUCUAAUUUUCUUGUCGAUAAUACAAAAUGUAGCCCACAGUAACUGCUGGUAAAUAACGAUUUUACAUUUUUCCUUCCUUGAACUAUUCGCCCAGCAAGUGAGUCAUCGCUAGUUUCGCAACACACAGCAAUUAAUGAAGCGAAAGGUUCCGCACCGACUCUUCCAACACCAACGCCUCCGCCGUGGAAGAGAAAUGCGGCCGUGGCUCCAAGUUCCCCGACGCGAUCCUAUGCGUCGAUGCAUCUGUGACCUCUUUUAUCUUCUCCAAAACGCUUCGAUACAAAUUCCAAUGCAUACACCCUGCAGCGAUAGCCGGCAUCCCAAUCGGAUGCAUUCUCACAAACUCUCGCACAUCCGCCGCAUUUCGCAGAUGCGUCAAAUACCCCACCAAUCCCUCUGCCAAGAAAUUAUCCUGCUCAUUGUAGGUGUACGGUUUCAAGAAAAUUGCCGUGUGAGGAGGAUUGAGUAGCGCUUUAUAGGGAGUGUCAUCAAUAAGGAGAGUGUUGGUCUCAUUAAAUUCGCCGUCAGGGAAUCUCGACCAAACUUUCGCGAGCUCCUUCAGAAACAGCGGCUGGCGUCUGUUCGUAGGAUUCUUAAACCCCGUGGCGGUGCAAUCGCCUUGAUGCAUGACGAACAUUACCUUGUGCUGCAAACCCUCACCGAUGUAGUCAAGGAUCUUGCGCACGUUGGCCUCCAUCCUGGAAGACCACACGCCGACGUGGAAAUUCUCGAAGCAAAAAUCGAUGAAGGCGAUGCAGAACGGCCGCUUGAAUACAUAGUUCAUCCCCACCAAUGCUCCGGUCUAACUUCUUGUGGCAGGCCACCAAGAUACCGUUCAAGUCGAGGAUCAAGAGCUUCUUCCUCGCCGGCGUGCCGAGCCUCCACGCUUGCGCCAAUGAAGCCCGGUUCUCCUCCAAUGCACUGCUAGAAGCAUAGUUUCCAUUCGCAGUAUCCAAAGGUUGCAAUUCUUCCUCUGCUUUAGCAACUGUUUCGCAAGACCCGGAGCUUUCCUCACCACGUCCACGAAGGACAUCUCUUACAGCGGCAGCGCUGGCCUCGCUAUUCUCCAUGUCAUUAGCGACACCAUCUGGAGGUUCAGCAGCGAAAGGAGAGAUGACGAUUACAAAAGUUUCUAGGGUUUGAAGAUUGAAGGAACAACACAGGAAUGCAAUCCAUGGCGCAAUGGGGCGAAGGAGAGUUACGCACCUUGAAGAGCAGGAGGAGGAGGCUUCAUGGUUGGGCCUUCUGAGCAGGGGGGUGUGUUGGACGUUGCGAUUCCAGGGCAGGGUGACUUCAAUGUGAACCCCUCUUUUUACCACGACCGUGCCCUGUCUGGAUCUUAGUGCCAUGAUGAUUCAGAAUUGGCGCCGUUGUCCCCUUCAGCUUAUGGCAUUGAUAUAAGGCCGAUGUACAUUGAGGGGCGUACUUGCAAAAAUAAUCACAAGCAGGGGCACAAAUCAAAAAUAUGUACAAAGAGAGGUGCACGCACAAAUAUAAUUACUAGCAAGGGCAUAAAUUGGAAAUAGAAUUUAUAGAGAGACUCAGACAUCUUCGUUGAUUUGCUUGGCUUCACUUUCGCAUAGUUGAGGGAAACGAAGGUCACCAGCAAGACAAGGAGAUUGGACACUGACAACUUGGAAUAGAAUAGUUAUUGGAACAGUGGUCCCUGCAGCCAAAGAUGCCCGUGGUACUUUUGCAAGCUAUUAUUUCCAAGUCUUUGCUCUUUAUCAAUUCAGACCCAAUAAACCCGCAUGCAUGAGCAUUGUAUGCUCAAUAGAGUGAGAGAGGAAUAUACAAGAAUACAAAUGGCAGGUGCAUAUUCUUUGUUGCAAUCAGCCAGUGCAAAGCUGUCAAGUUUGCUGCUCAUCAGUAGACAUGCCCGACUUUUUUAAAACCCUUUCACCUUAAAGGCAAGGAGCUUGCAAAUUUUUAUGAAUCAUUUGUGUGGGACAUACAAGGUCUGUGAUCAUUGAAUGUCACAAACCAUGCCCAAACCAAGCUUGGGGCAAAAGUAACAUAUAUGGCUUCAUGGAGGAGUUGCGAGUUGCACCAAAAGCAUUUGGUAAAAGAAUAUAGUUUGGGGUUUCAAAAGCUUGUGCCAUUACUUGUGAGAUUGGCUAUAAAAAAUCCUAGUUGCAUGACUACAUUUGACAAGGAAUAAUUGAUAGUAGUUUGUCAAAGCAUUUCUUUGCCUUCAGGCUUGAAAGAUUGUAGCUGCAAGCUAUAACCUUGUGUUCACUACAAAUGCAAUCUAUUCAAAGUUAAGAUACCAAGGUAUCUACCUUAGCCUCAAUGGAGUACAUAGAAAAGGUUACCUUGUUCAUAUUGCUUUUAAGAUUGUUCCAAUUGAAAAUAAUGAAAAUUAGACAUGGUUUUUUCACUAUUUAGAAGAUAUUUUUCUUAAACUUUGCAAGCAUUGUAUUUAGUAGUGAUUGCAAGAAGGUGUGUAAAGUUUUGAUGUUUAAUUUUAUAUUUGAUUUUGCAUUCAAUUUUGCAUUGAUAACAAUGAUAUGUCCAAGGAAUUCAAAAUGGAAUUGUUGCAAACCUUCCAUUUUAAAAACCAUUGUGCAGACAUUUGGCACAUCAAAGAGAACAUAAAUUGGCACUACAAAACUAAGUUGAAUGUGAAGUUGUAGACAACUGCAAAGGCAUUGAUCUUAGACACCCAUGUAGUUGCAAAAGUAGAUAUCUUCAAGAUGCAUACUACUAUACAUAAAUAUCUUGUUGUUAUUCAAAGUCAAAACUAAAUCCUUGGUUAUAAUAGAUGUAAUACAGUAUGAAGAAGAUAUUGGUAUUAUCAACACAUAGAGAUAGGAAGUUGGAGCCAUAUUUAGGAAGUUUCUAGAACUUUUUAGAAUUUUUUAGAAUUAGGGCUAAAUUAAUCGUUUAUGUGGGACUUAUCAUAGAACAUUCUAGAAAGGGCUUAAGGUGGUUAUUUAUAUGGGAUCCUCCAUUAAGAACAUUCUAAAAAGUUUUAGGAUGCUUAGAUAAAUUAUAAAUAGGACUUGCCAAGGCCAUUAGAAUAGUUGGUUAAGUAUGGCUUUGGUUCCUUUCUUUAAGUAAAAUUUGGUUUUGCACUUUUUUGUUCAAUUCUAUUUUAUUCUCUUUUACUCUAUUAUGCCUUUUACAUUCCAUUCUAUUUAGUUUUAUUCAAUUUUGUUCUAGUCUAUGUUGUCCUACAUUGUGACAAAAUUUAUAUUGCUAUGGAUUAGAAGGAUCUUAGAUCUUAGACAUAAUCCAAUCUCGUUUGAAUAGUUCAUCAUGAUUUAGAGUUCUUAUUUCAAACAUAUCAAUAGCAAUAAAUUCAUGGAUCUUUGAUAAAUGCCACAUGGAACCUUUUGAUGUCAUUUUUUAGGUUAUUUAAAAAAUUGGAUGCCUUUUCUACAAUUGACAUUUAAAUUAUGCAGCCAUUCUAAUAAGUAUUUUUUUUAAAUCAUCUCAAAUGUAUAGAGGUGUGUAAUUGAAGGAUGAACUUGUUAGGUCAUACAAAAAGAUGAUACUCUCUUUGAGGUCAUCAACUAAGACAGUAAAGUUUUUGGCAUUGUCAAAUUAAAGAACUACAUAUAUUCUUGUGGCAACUUCUAACAAUGUCAAGUAUCUUAUGUUCAUGCCUACAAAGGUGUAGUGAAUCUAUGCCAAACUUCGAAUUGUUCAUGCAUUUUUUGUAUACCACAAGUGAGCUAGUUUAUACUAGUGUUGUUAUCUCCAUCAAUAGAAGAACAAUGGUAGCUUAUAGUAUCUUGCUGCCUUUGCUUAAAAUAAAACAAGCAUGACAACCAUGGAAAAUUUGCCUAUGCAAACGUGAUAAAACCUACUUGGAAAAUCAAAUUAGGUGCUCAAAAUGUGGCAAAAAGGGUCACAAUUUACAUACAUGCAAUCAAUGAUGCCAAGUAUAAUGAAAUUUUUUAAGAUCAAGAAGGUAAUAAUACUUGGUGACCUUUGGUAUUCAUGAGCUCUACAUGUGAGAAGCAACAAUGACAAAUUAUGCAUGUCUUUGUAAUUAUUUUCAAUUUGUGUCUCUACUUAUAAUUAUUUCUUUGGAUGCACCUCUCAAUAUAAAUUCUCUUUAACAUGAUGAUCUUAAUAUUACAAAUCAUCAUAAAUGACGCAAGUGCUAUCACAUAUGUAUCUCACUUGAUUUUGUAUAAUCAUAUUAUUAUUAUAAUAUAUUAUGUCUAUUUUAUUUAUUUAUUUAUUUAUUUUAAGUAAAUUAGUUGUAUCAAAGGUUUGUAAUGAAUUAUAAUUGUCUAUACUAAGAAGUAUUUUUUAAAUAGUAUUUUUAUUAUAUUUAUUAUUUUCAAUUAUAUUCUACUAUUUUGGAAUAAAUGCAAUAACAUCUAAGCUAUAUAGAUAUUUUUACUAUCAAAGCAUUGUAACAACAUAAAGGCAUUGAAAAUAAUUGCAAACUAUCCCUUAGAAUCAAUAAGGUUGUAAGAUAGAUUGAGUUGGUAUGGCUUCUGUGAACCAAUGAAAUAUUUGUUUUCUAUUAUGUUAUUACUACAAUUUAACUAAAAUAUGUAGAAGAUUGGAUGGAAAUGCCUUCACUACUUUAAAAUUUAUGAAUUAAAUUCUAUUAUUCCAUUAAAAUUUUAUACAUUAUCAAUCACAAAUAAGAAAAUAAAAUAAAAUAAUAAUAAAUAAAUAAAUAAAUAACUCUAAGGCUUGAAAAGAAAAAAUUGUUCUAUAUUUCACUCUCUACUAUUGAUGCCCCACAAGUCUUUAGGACUAAAUUAAGGAUCCUGUUGUAUUCUUGAAAUUGCAAAAAAUCCUUAAAAAAAAAGUACACAUGAAUGGAUUACACUUCUCAAGUAUAAGAAACCUAUAAUGAUAGAAUUAAGUCUUUAAUUAAUAAAACAAAAAACAAUCAUACAGUGGUAAUUAUGAAGCAUAAGUCUAAAAAUGCUCUUGUGCAAGUUAUGUCUGUUGAUGACAAAGGACAUCCUAUUAUGACCUUUGCAUGUAUAUUACUAGACCUCAAAUUAAUUAAUAGACUUUGGAUACAAGGUCUUUAUUUAGAAUUGAGUUUUCAAAUCAUUGUUUAUCAAAUAUCAUUUGUCGUUGUUGAGAAUAUUUUAGAGAAAGAGAGACAAUAGGAGUUAGAAGUAAUAUGAAUACAUAUGUAAACACACACAAGAAGUGAGUUUAUUAAUAGGAUUAUAUUUCUUAUACAAAAAAAAAGAAAGAAGAUAAAUAAAGUUUUCCAAUACAUUCCAAACAAUAUACCUACAAUAAAUACUAUAGACUACAAUAAAUAAUAUGGAGAACUCCAACUACAUUUAAUGCUCUCAAUACUCCUCCUUGCUUGUCAUAAUAUUUAUAUGCAUAGAAUUAUAACCUAUAAUUUUGUGUAAUCUCAUAAGAUCAAAAAUUGUUGCCUCAUUAAAACCUUAUCUAGGAAAACCUUAUUAUAUUUAAGGAAAAAACCAUAGAUAAAAGAAAAAGAGUACAACAUUAUCUAAAGAGUUUAUUAACUUUCUUACUCAAGAAAAGCAAGUCGUCAUAUACGAAUGUCAUAAGUAAGUUGACAAUGGUUUGACAACAAGAGAGCUUUGAUAAAGAGAUCACCAAGGUUAUUUACAGAUUCAAUUUUCUUGAUCUUAAGUACUUGAUUAGUAACCAAGUCAUAGAUAUAACUAAAAUACUUUGGAUCAAUAUGCUUUGUCAUAUCUCCUUAACUGAAACCAAUUUACAUUUGUACAAGACAAGUGCUAUUAUCUUCAUACAAGAUAAUUAGAGAAUCAUUAUAUGAAAGUCGACAGGUUGUCGGAAUGAGUUUAUCAAUUUGUUGCAAUCAAAUACAUUCCCAAGAUUCUUCAUGUAAGGCAAUAAUUUUUACAUAGUUGGAUGAAGUUAUAAUUAUUGUUUGUUUCAUUUAUUUUCAUGAUAUUGCAGCUCUAUGUCUUAAGAAUAUAUAACUCAUUUGAAAUUUAGUUGUUUUAAUAUCAAAUUUAUAUCUUACAUCAUAAUAUCCAACUAAUUUUGAAUCUACACAUUGUAUACAAUAUAAUCUCAAAUCUUUGGUGUCUUUUAAAUAACAUAGUAAAUAUUUGAUGUCAUUCCAAUAUCGUACUAUUGAAUGUACAUUAUAUCUUGCAAGAAUACUAAUUAUAAAUAUAACAUCUAGUUUCGUAGAUGUGGCUAAAUAUAAAAGUGCUCCAAUUGCUACAAAGUAUGAAUAUUGUUCUCCCAAUAUUUCUUCAUCCUCUUUGCAUAGAUGGUAUGGAUCAUGACCAUCAUGACCACACUCAACCAUUGGUGUAGACAAUGAAUAAGCAUCAAUCAUAUUGAAUCUCUAUAAGAUUUGUCUAAUAUACGUUAGUUGGUAGAGAAAAAUGCUACCAUCUGUGAGAUGCAUAAUCUAAAGAUCAAUACAAAAAGUUGUUUUUCUUAACAUUUUCAUUUCAAAUUCACGUAUAAAUAGGUUAAUAGCUACAAUGUAUGUAAAUCUAAUAUCUACUAGGUUAAGAUCAUCAACAUAUACAACGAUGAUCAGAAAACCAAUUUUAUCUUAUUUGAAAAAUAAACAAGGGAUUAAUUGAUCACUUACAAAUUUAUUUAUAAUUAAAUAAUCUUGGAGACAUUGAUACCACAUGCAUCUAGAUUAUUUUAGAUCAUACAUGGCCUUGUAUAAUUUAAUACUAUAAUAUCGUCUUAGAGUAAAUGCAUUUAGAAUUCUUAUUUCCAAACCACGUGGAACUUUCAUAUAAAUAUCUACAUCAAGUAAACCAUACAAAUACGUAGUUACGACAUGCAUGAGAUUUAUCUCAAGCGUGGCAUGAAUUACUAUUCCAAUAAUAUAUUAGAAUGUAAUUGAAUCCAUGAUUGGAGAAUAUGUGGAUUCAUAAUUAAUGCCAAACUGUUCGGUAAAUCCUUAAGCAACAAGACAAACUUUAUAACAGAUUAUUUUACCCUUAGCAUCUCGCUUGUAUAUUAAUACCAUCUUAUAUCCCAUACGGCAAGGAGUAAGAGUGUCCACAAUUGGAUCAAAGAAUUUCUUUUUAUGCAAAGAAGCAUAUUUCUAGAAAAGAUAUAUCCUAGAAUUUCUUUUUAUGCAAGUGAAGAUAUAAUGUGCAUGGACAUAUUGACAUUAAUUGAUGGUUCGCUAAGUUUAGUAGGACCUUCCACAAAAACAACACCAAAAUCACCACAUGUUAUAGCUUUCUUCUUUCAUGCUUGCUUAUCUGAUCCACAAGUCCUUUUAAUUGCUAAUGUUUUAACCUGAGGUAUAUUUGUUAGUGGCAUUGCAAUCUGCAUGGAUUCAUUCUAAGCCUUAUUAAUUAGAACUCUUGUAUCUGAGGUACAUCAUUGAAGCCAUCACAUGUUUCAUUUGCAAUCUGUCUUAGAUACAAAAUCUUGGCAACUUUAUUUUCAGCCAAAGAUGUUCUAGGAUUAAGAUUUAUUGUAAAUAUUUCUAGUACUCCAAAUGCAAGUAUUGUAUUUCUUUGUUGAUUAAAUACUUCUCCUUAAAGAGAUGAAAAUAUGUUCUCUUCAAAACAAUAAUUUUAAAAAUAUGUAUGUAAUAAUGUGCCAGUUGAUGGAUCAUGUAUACAAAUAAUGUUUGGUGAAUCAAAACCAACAUAUGUGCCUUCUCGCCAAUGAGCUCCAAUGGUAAGCUGUUGACGUUCUCAUACUAGAAUCCAAGUACGACAACCAAACACCCAUAGAUGAGAUACAUUUAGAACAGAACCUGAAAUAAACUCUUGUUGUGUAAUAAUUUCAAGAAAAGAAGGACGAAUGCAUAUUAAUGCUGCAACAUGCAAAAUUGCAUGACUCCACAUAGAUACAUAUAAAUUUGUAUGAAGAAGGAGUGGUCGGAUAAUGAAUUGUAUAUGCUUUAUAAACAACUCUACAAGUCCAUUUUGAGCAUGUUCAUAUGGAAUACUAUAUGUCAACUUAAUCCACGUUGUAGUACAAUAAUGUUCAAAGGAUUUUGAUGCAAAUUCUUUUGCAUUAUCCAUACACAAUGUUUUGAUAUGAUAAUAAGGAAAAUGUGGUCGAAAAAAAAUAAGCAUAAAUAUAAGAUUAGCAAAUAUCAUAUUUUGAGAUGAUAAUAAUGAAACAUGUGAUUGUUUGCAUAAUGCAUCAACAAAAACCAAAAAAUAAUGAAAUAGUCCAGAUAUUAGAUUAAUAGGACCACAAAUAUCACCAUGCAACCUUUCAAGCAUUGGUGGUAAUUCUUGUAGGAGUUUCCAAAUUGAAGGUUCACCAAUCAUCUUGCCUUGCAUAGAUGCACGAUAUAAUUCUAUAGAAUUUAUAUUUACAGAUCUUAAAUUAUGCUCAGCUAUUCAUGGAAUUAUCUUUCAAAAUAAUAUAGAUUUUAGAUAUUCUAAUUGUCCAUGCCAAAGAAAAAUAUGACUCUCUGUUAUAGAUGAUGCAAAAUUAAAUAUAAUAAGAGGUCGGAUUGCAAUCUUGUAUAAACCAUUUGUCACAACAAAAGCUUUUUUUACAACUUUAUGUUUAUGUUCAAGAACCAAAACCUCUCGCAUAUCUAAAAUUGCAGUUGAAAGGUGAUAACUAUUGGCACAUAAAUCUUGGUAGUUGAUUAGACUCUGAUGUACUGAGGGUACAAACAUUGCAUAUUUAUAUUUUAUGAUAGAGCUCGCACACAAUUUACCAUUAUUAUUUCCUCUUAAAAUUAGAACACAUUUGUUCCAACCAUAGUCAUCAAAUUUUUAGUUUGCAAAGUUGAAGAUUUUUCAAUAAAAAACUAUCUAUCCCAUAGGAUAAUAUGUGCUGCUGUAGAAUCAAUGAGCACAUCAUGUGAUUCAUUAUUAGAGGUUUUGUCAUUCAUAUAAGCCUCUAAAACAUCAAUACCAAUAGAAUCCAUGAACGCAUCCAUGGUACGAACUACAUGAGCCUCAGCUCGAAGUUUCUUAUUUUUUUAGAAUAUUUUAAUAAAGUAUUAUAAAGUACAAUACGCAUGUGCCAAAUAUCCAAUCAUUCUACAUUUAUGUCAAGAAUACAUCUCUAAUUUUUGUUUUCUACUAUAAUUAGUUGUAGAACAUUUAUUCUUUCCAUAUGGACAAAAAUGAUCACAACCAUGACUAACUUGGUGCCUAUGAGCAUUUUUUCCAUGUUUAUAUAAUUGUUUUUUAGACUUUAGAAUAUUAAAUGCAUGAGAUUCAGGAAUCGUGGUUCCAAUGGGAGGAGCUUCUACAUUGCACAAGAGUAUCUCAUUUUGUUUCUCCAUGAAAAGUAAAUAGGACAUGAGAUUAGGAUGACUUUGAAAUUUAAUAUUUCUAUAUUGUCAUGCAAGCAAAGCAAAUAAGGGAAGAAAUGUAGAAAGAGUUUUGUCAAUCAUUUCUUCUUCAUAGAUGAUUUGUCGACAUAAUCAUAGUUGUGAGACAAUACAAUACAUUUUAUUAUUGAAAGCAUUUAAAUGCUCUCAACAGUCAUCACUACAACACUAAGGUCUAUUAUUGAUGUAUACAAAUUUAUACUAAAAUUCUGUGAAUAAUUUUAUGGCAUGUUUCAAUUCUAUGAGUGUUCGUGUAUGGGGUGAGAGAAGGGACUAUAAUUAGUCAAGUAUUUCAUAUGUAGGAGAGCUCUUUAAACCAUGAGAAAUUACUCACAUCUGCAACCCCAGAGUGACCAAGUUUUUCACAAUGUUCAAAGCUUGGGAUUGCUCAUGGAAGGUCAGUUCCUCGUCAUACAACUUUGGAUUGGUUGCAAUUGACCCCAGUGACCAAAGACUUUGAAACUGAAAGGUGAUCUCAGGAGAUAGGGAGACUUGUGAGUGAUAAAUUGUCUUAUAUUUCAACUCCGAGUGCAGUAGGAUUUCUGGAGGAUUAGGCACCCUACCCGUUUGAAGUAUGGCCGCCGGCUUCUUGUGAUGACCUUGUGCACAAAUUUUUGUCAUCAGACACAUUACAGUAUUCACAAAUAACUUGAAGGCAUCAAUUCUAACUAAAACAAAAUCGAGGUAAGAAUCGAUUCUUGGAGCAAAAAGGAUGGCAGCAUCACCAACAAGGGACAUGCACCGACAGAAAUCAUUUGAAGUUCAAUUUCAACAUGCUCCAAUUCUGUCAGGGGAUGUGCACAACCAGCAGGAUUCCUCGACUCCAGCAUCCUUGAAGUUUAUCAAGUUGCUAAACAGGGGGUUCACUGAUCCUAGCAAUAUUUGAUAAGAAAUUUAUUUUGGACCGGCUUUGUACCUCAGAAACAACCUCGGUACACUGAGAAUGAUAGCGUUAAACCACCUAUAACGUUCUGACUAUUGCAGUUAAUUCCUAACUUGUGACAUCAUGAGACUCUGUUGACUUCAUCAGUCUUCUGUUUCAAGAUCUUGAAGUUGAUCAAGUCAAUAAUGUUUUGUCUUAUGUCAUCUCGCAGAUAAUCAAAUGUCCGUGGCGGGAAUUUUAUCUCUUCCUUUUGCUUUUCAGAAAGAUCGGCAUACCUCAGCGAAUUGACCAUCGGUACGAUACGGCAAGAGCCACGGCGGUAUCCCAGACUUUUCGGGAUUGCAACAGGGGUCGCUCCUCCGCUAGCUCCUCCAUCAGGCCCCAGUCCACUGUCCGGUUUACGCUUGUGAAGGUUAGAAGAGUUGUUCCCAAUCAUCUCAUCAUCUGGCCCCAGCCCAUCUAUCACUGCAUCACCUUCGGAACUAAUACUCUCCAUCGCCACCUUUCAAAGACGCUUCCUUUUUAUUGGUACAACUUUGCAAUACACCCUUAUACUCUUAUUGAUUAGAGACAAACUAUCUCGCCAGCUCCACCAACCUGCUGAUAACACAAACAUGGGGGUAAGAAAUACGAAGUGGUUGCACCUCUGAAAUUCCAACGAGGAUCAUCAACCCAUGAGAUAACAUGCCUUCACUUGUGUUCCAACUCAAAAUUAGAAAAAAAUGACUGUAUCAGAAGAUACAACAACAGUCUAUGUGUUGGUUAAAUAUAUCCAAGAGCCACGAAAACAUGAUCGAGGUACCGCAGAAUAACCUCGCUCAAAAUACUUAAAAGAUCUUAUAUAGAAGCAAGACACGAAAGGAUAAUUAUUCUACGCAUGAAUUGAUCACUGAUGAAAUUGAGACAUAUUUUUUAGAGAUGGCAAAUUGAACGGAUUCUUUGAAAAAACAAAACAAAAAACACAAGUAAGGAAUAACACUAACAUUAAAAAUUAAAGCAGAUGAAAGGAUGAAAAAAAAUAGAUAUUCAUUCGAAUUGGCAUCUAUUCAAAUAACACUGGUCACCAUGUCCAAAAUCCAUUUUAACUUUAACCAUCCUGGAUGCUUUGUCUACGCAAUAUGCGGUGACUGCAUGGUGCUAACCUUCCCUCCAUGCACCAACCUCCUGGAAGUAGGUCGUCACCAAGAAGAGAAGCAUCUCAAAUUGCAAACGAAUGCGACUGAGCUCGCACAAGCGAGUUUUCUCUUGCCAUCACCGAGUUAAUAGCCUCGUCUCAGUUGUCAUUCAUCCAACGAUGCCAAUUGCAAGAAUCAGACCACAUCUAGGGUAAUAACCGGAAACCCACCUCAGAAACAACAGCGUGCGUCGCAAGCGCCCGCUUCAAUGCACUCCAUUCUCCGACGCUCCAAUGCAUCCAUCGUUUAAAUCCAAAAAUCGACACCUACACUCAGCAGCAACAAAAGAAAAAACGAUCCAAGCGAAUCAAUGCUGUUGAACCGAACCUCUCCAGAGCAAUGAAGGCACAAAACGCACAGAAUUGCAAUCCAAGCACACCCACAAAAAAGGGCCAAGGGGAUCCGCUUCGCUUCGCAUCGUCUUACCGCAAUCGCGCCAAAUGAUACCAAGUACGGCAGCCGGAUUCGAAUUUGCAGAUUCCGGUGGGUCCGCAAACACCGUCGCACCCGGGCGAGGGCUCGUUCGAGGUCCUGAUAGGCGUCCCAGUGGCAUGCUAAGUCAGCCCUGACUCUGAUCCACGUGGCCUUCUCGGACGGUUUCGGGCUUCGACGUUCGAAUCCUUUGCGAAAGGAGUUGCCAGGUGGGUCCUCUAGAAUCUUCCAUUGAUAACGUUAUCUCGUUUUGCUUUUCAUGCUAUUAUUAGUAUUCGUAUACGUCUAAUCAGGUGUGGCAGUUGUGAAAUUAUGUCUUCGUCAGAACCCAUUUUAGCUCCAUGUUUAAAAAUAUUUAGAUUUAAAUGUAGAUGUGUACAAAAGUAUAGAUAUAUUCUAUAUUUAUUGAUUUAUUACAUAAAACAGCUUGGGUAUACGACAAAGAGACAACAAAGCCUUCUUAUUGGUUGAACAUAAGAACAUGAGAAUGGGGGAACUUGGAUGAACAAGGGAAUAGAUGGAUGAGCUAAAAAUUGCGGUGCCUAAUGGCACAAAUUUCUACUUUAAUUUUUAUAUAUAUAUAUAUAUAUAUAUAAAUAUGAGAAAUAAAAGAACAAGAUUUAGUGUGAUACAAAGUUCCUUUUCUUGUUUGAAUUUGAAUUGAAAAAGUUUUUUUUUUUGUUUAUAUGUUUAUUAUUUAGCACAAAAUGAUUAGACAUGUUAUAUUAAAGUGUGAUGUGGUCUUGCUGUAUUUUUUAAUAGCAGGAAAUGUGAUUUCUUUGUGAGAGGAAAUUCAGAAUCAGUUCUUCAAUCUAAUUCUUUGUAGUAUCAUAUAAUUAUUUGUCUGUUGGUGUUCUAAGCAAUUUAAUUGUUGGGCUAAUCUCAUGAAUCAAUAUAAGGAAAACUUUGAGAAUUUCACUUGUUUUUUUAAAUGAACUAUCUCAUUGAAUUUUAAAAAAUGUUAAUUUGAAAUAAACAUUCUUCUGAAAAAGUGGCUUAAGUCCUAAGAAGGUUAAAUUAACUAUGUAAAAGUUAACAUUACUCUUGAAAACAACAGACAUAUUAGGUGUCUUAUGUACACAAGCAUCCAUUUGUGUGUGUGUAGAUAUAUAUAUAUAUAUAUAUAUAUAUAUAUAAUAUCAAGUUGUGUAAAUUGCAUGUUUUAGAAUGUCACAAUUAUUUAACUAUUCUUGGCAACUAAUCAUCCUUUAUAUAUACAAAUAUAUACCAAAUAAUCACAAUAGUGGAAUUUUAUUUCAUAAACAUAUGUAAUUUCUUGAAAAUAUUUCUUUAUAUUAAUGUUAAUAUCAAUAUAAAAAAAUUAAUUACCAAAAUAUUAUUAGUAAUUAUAUUGAACAAUUUGAUAUAUACAAUAGAGAAGAAAUUUCUAGAGUAGGUUUUAAUACAUGGUUUACGAAUGCAAAGCAUUUUAUAUAGUUCUUUCAUCAAAUUGAAGGAAUAAUUACUUUAAUCUAAUUAAAAGUUAAUUUUGCAUGUGUAUUAGAGUUCAAUUUUAAUCUGUUUUGAAAGUAAUCACACAUUUGAUAGUAAUGAUGAUUAUUAUUAUUAUUUUUAUUUUACUUGUUAAUUUAAAGAUAUGUUAUAGAUUAAAUUGUAACAACAUCUAUUUUAAAGAAAUAAAUAGUAUUAAAAAUACAAAUUUAAUUUAUAGAUGUUUAUUACUUCUUAAAAUAGAAAUUAAAAUAUGCAUUAUAGAUAUCAUUUAAAUAACUUAAAUUAUAAACAUUAAAAUAUAUGAAUAGUAUUAUACAAGAUUUAUUGUAAAAUAAGAUUAAUUAUUAGGAUAUCUUAUACUUGUGACAUUCUAAUAAGUGCUUAUCCUUUAUAAGACAUCCUAAUAAUUGCUUAUCCUUUAUAAGACAAUUAUAAAAGUAAGUGCUUAUCCUUUAUAAUACAAUUUUAUUUUUUAUCAUAUUAUAAUUAUUGUUUUAAUAGCUAACCUUGUAAAAAACUAUUGAAUCUAAAAUUAUAUAUAUAUAUAUAUAUAUAAUUCACUCCAAGAAUUAACUUUAUAGAAAUAAUCAAGCCAUUUUAAUAGCCAAUGGUAUAUGAGCAUGUUGAAUAAAUUUUCAUAGAAUUAAAAUAAAAAAUAUAUGCACUUAAAAUGAUGUAUUAAUAUGUACCAAAUACUUGAAAAUUAUCUAUUCAAAGAAUGGUGAAUUUUAAAACUUGACUAUUAAUGUAAUUUACUUCAAAUUUCAAUUCAAAUAUUAAUAAUGUAGGUGUUGUAAGAAGAAGUAAAUAAUAUUAUAAUGUAGUUUUUUCCACUUAUCUAUUUGUAAGCAUGCCAUUAGAAAACUUUUAUAAUAUUUAUAUUUUAUAUUCUAAAACUUGGUUUUAAAAAUAAUCUUUGUAUACAUCUUUAUAUUUGAACAAUAUAGAUUUGCAGUGAAAAAUAAAUUUGAAAUAGUUAGAAGUAUUUAUUGUAUUAAAUUCAUGCAUUAAAAAAGAAAAAAGAAAAAAGAAAAAGUGUGUGUUCUCAAUGCAAGUAUAUAUAUAUAUGUUAAAUAAUAAUAAUAAAAUCAAAAUAAAAAUCCAAAGAUUGAUGUAGCAGUUUAAAACUAGACUGAAAUUAGUAUCCAGAGUUUUGAAAAAUGGUUAAAAAGAAAGAAUGGUUUGAAUAUACUGGUUACAAUAGAUCAACUGGAAUUGCACUGUCCAUCAGAGUUGGUAUAUAGAUUAUGCAUAAGUUGUUUGACCUUCAAUAAUUAUUUCAAGUCAGACUUUAGCAGAUUAUAACCUUAGGAAAAUACCAAUACAUUAUGUGUGUAUAGUGGGUAUUGAAAAUACCAAUACAUUAUGUUUGUAUAGUGGGUAUUGAAAAUACCAAUAAAUUACGUGUAUAUAUUGUUACUGUUAUUUUGAUAUCCUAUUUUCAAAACAAUAGUUACAUUAUAAUUCUUAACUUUGAAGUUAUACAUUUUUUUAAACAAGAUUCCUUUAAGUUUAUUUGUAUCUUCAAAUAAAUUAAGCUUUGGGGUUUAGAAUCAUACAAGAGCAAAGUUUAAAUCUUGCAUUCCUAAAUACCAAGGCUCAUUAUAGCAUGAGGUAAUCACUCCUCAAUUAAUUCCAUUCAAGUAAUUUUCAAAAUAUGAUUCAUUGUACACAAAAGUCUCACUAUUUUACCAAAUAAUAAAGAGAUAGAAAAAAAACAAUGGAAUUAAAAGUAAAAGAGAGAGAGAGAGAGAGAGAGAGAGAGAGGAUAACUGAUACUUUUCUUAUCAAAAACUCGUUUCUACAGGCCAAGAUUGAGUAUGAGAUGAAAAUUUUGCCACCCAACGACAGCGACCUGGCAGGAAAACGCGGGUGGGGAUGUACCGACAUAAAACCCAGCCCGUCCCAGUCGGCGUGCCCCGCACGAGCCUGUGGCCAGCUUCGCCGAGGGGGCGCCGUUUAAUCGAGGACGAGGCAAGUGCACGAGAUCAUUCAUUCAUGCGCUCUCGGACAAUGUGACGACGACGACGACGAAGAAGAAGCUGGCAAUGACGUGCAAUCCCAACUCGCCGUAGCAGGCAGGAAACACUCAUCGCUACUGCCACUUCCAGACUUUAAGAACGUCGCAUGAAGAGGAGCGUCGAGUACUGCUUGUCCAUGGUGAUUGUCUCACAAUUGAUUGCUCGGUGCCAGGCGGUGUCGCGCCUCAGGGCCUGAUCGACCGUUGCUGUUGUUGUUGAAGUUGGAGCAGGCGAUGUGACGAACACAGCGAUUGCUGCUUGAAGUCAAAAGUGAGUUCCGAGGAGGCUAGUAACGCGACCGUCCCGUCUAGAGAAGGUGUAGAGCGGCUGGUAUCAGUUUUUCGGAAGGGAUGAGGCGCGUCGCGGCCUUGACGUAUUGUGAGACUCGAUCGGUAGUAGUAUUGGGGUUGCUGAUUCUGAGCUUGAGUGCCGUGGUAGUGGUGGUGGUGGAUUCGGCGCGACUAGUGGAGGCCGCCUCAGAACAGCCCAGGAAGUUGACGACGCCUGAGUCUGUGCAGGUCUUUGUCGAGCCAGAACUGUUACCGCAGCGCGUGAAACCUUUUUCUACUGGUCGCUUCGGAGAUGGGGAUGGGGACGAUGCGAUGUGGGAUAUGGAGGCGAAGCCGCCACCUUCGCAUAGACUGCGGGAUCGUACCCUGUGGGGAUAUUCCAAACGUGUCGUUCCGACAGGACCCAAUCCGCUUCACAAUUAGGCUUAGUAGCUUGGUUCGGCAUCCAGGAGGAGGAGGUUUAGCGAACGGACACUAGAGGUUGCUUUUCAGGGUUAUUCUGUGACGUGUUCAGCUUGUGCUGCGACCGCCUUCUUCCUCUUCAAUUAGAAACCGUAUUUCUCUGCUUCAUCAACAGGAACAGAUAUCUGCCCCGGCGCCGCCGAUCUCAAACUUGCCCUCCCUUGUUUCCAUUGCGUCGGUGACUUCGACUCUGCGCAAACUUUCAUGCAAAUUAUUGUUAGUCUUAGUACUACUACCAUUAUAAUUACUCUCAUUAUUCUGGCCGCAUGAUUGAAAUACUCUAUGAGAUGGCUUUUGGGAAAGGCUAUUCUCACCGCAAGGUUACUCAGUCGGCUUGAUUGCAGUUCCAACCGGAGUUUUCGCUGAGCAAUCCAAAGUAUUUGAUUUAGGAGACACGUUCACCGACUGACGGGGUUCUGAGCUGUAGAAUAGUGAACCCAGAGACUAAGUCCCUUCGAUUAUACGAGUGUUCAAACCUGCAGAACCUUGUGAGGUACUGAAGCUAUAGAGUACACUUCUCCAUCAAAGACAUACCAUCAAAAUAGCGGUUUAGAAGAUUUAUGUUUUAUGCGCAACCAUGAUUGAAUCAUUCAAGCUAUGCCAGCCUGUAGGACGCGAUCGAGCACCAUCAACAAAGGACUUGCUCGACGAUUCAACGCUGGAUGGUUGCGGGUAUUCAAUAACAGGGGCAUAGUUGUUUAAAUAUUAUAUACUGAGUGCAGCUUUCCAGGCUCGAAAGGGGUUGGGGAACGCCACAUUGAAAGUUGGAUCACAGUCGGGAUAUCUUAGGAGGGGGAGCGAAUCAUUGCGAUUCAUAGCUGCCAUUAAAAUUUAUUGCUUUCAGUAGGACAUUUAUCAUCGUGAGUUCGUGUGUAAAGAAUUGCAAAUAAUUGGGAGGAUGUGAAUGCCACGGCUGUACUCAUUUCUUUCCUUUCACCUUAUAUCUUAGAGGUCACUACUUGUGACUGAUCUUUUGAGCUGCCGGAUUUUGUCCUAAAUGGCGACUGCGUUCUCAUGUCCAUCACUGGUGCUGCGCGAAAAAAAUAGCACCAUAGCUAUCACAUCGGCGUCUCUUGCAAACAACAGUGUCCAGUAUAUUGCAUGACAUCAGUGCUGAAACUGUUAUUUCCAAUCUUAAUAGCGCAGAGAUGUUUUCAUUAUGAGAGGCUGUGUUUUAGUAGUUUCAGAGGUUUCCUCUGGCGGCUUGUCUCUACCCUUGCAAUGCAAUGAGAUAUAUUUAAUGCCAGGAAAGUCGAAACUGAAAUGCAGAUCAAUUAUGCAUUAAGUCCUGAUUUAAGAGUUGGGGUAAUUGGAACAUAACCUGCAGUUAUCUGCCGUGAUCGCCAAAAGCUGAUGCACAGCAACAAUCCAAUGUCCUUCACUUUCUAGAAGAUGUAGCUCCAGAAUCUAGCUUCCAAUUGCUACUAUCUCCUAGAGGAGUGCGUUGAUAGGUUCCCUUCUCUUGGACCAUUCCUCGAGAGAGCUUUAUAUUACCAUUGAUAUCAUAAUCUUAACACAACAAUCAUUCGGAUAUGCAGACGGGCUGAAUGCGAAACGUAGGUUAGAGGAUUUAGUGAGCAACGGGUUUAUUAUUUUAUUUUAUUUUUUGCAUAUCAAUGAAAUCCGUGGGACCUGGAGUAAACCACCAGCUGACGACAGGUUGCAAAACAAAGCAUUUGACAGGGGUGCAGAGUUUUUAGACCUCCAAGACGGGGAGGGAUCUCCAGUAAUGAACUAUCAGUCCCAAAACUUGCGGCGCCCAUGAAUGCACUUCCAUUGACGCGUUUCGGUCCCUUCUUCGAUCCCUACAUUCAAUCUGUACCAUCUGCUCAAUCAAUUUUUACGAGCCGGUCGGGGCCUGUGGCUGUCCAAAAAAAUCUAAACUCGUACAGCGAGACUGUCCUCACCUCCGGACACGGCAAGAGACAAGUGCCUCUUCGUUUGUCACGAAGUUUUUUCCACGCUAUACUACAGUAACAGUAGAAGGUUGUCAGCCCAGGUCUCCAGAGCAACCUUUUCCUCCUGAAGAAAUUCAAUAUCAAAGGCGGGGUUCGUAGCAGACUUUGACCUAGAAUGUACUGCUUUGAUGGACAUGAUCGGAGCUAGGGGGUGCCGUGUCCGGCAAAAUUCGGCCCCCGCCAAUGGUCUAAAAUUUUCACUCCCAUUUGAGAAAUCUCCUACUGGUCCAAAAUUAGACAAGUCCUCAUGCAUCCGAAACAAUCUUAAUUAUAAAGACGACGACGACGAGGCUGUACACAAGGACAGCCAUGGGUGGGGACCGUAAGCUGUAUUUGGCUCACUCCUAGUGCUGUGUACUACACAAAACGGGUGCAGCCAAGACGAUGAACUUCGUUCUAGAAGAAGCUCUUUGUUGACCUGCAUCCGAUCACCAACAACCUAUCCAUCUGCACAGAGCCAGCCUGCUGGCCUCCAGCAAAGAUUCUCUCCAAGUCCGCCAAUAAAACGCCCCCCACCUUCUCUGGUCUUGCAACAUGAAUGCUACCCACGUUAACGUCCAACUUAUCGAACGAUCUGGCAAGCAAUACCAUCAAAACCUGAAGGUAAAAAACCCAGACUAGUCUUCGGCAAAGUCAAGUAUACUAUCACCAAUAGUCUACAUUGUGGGUAGGUGGGUGGGUGGCGACAUUGUGGCAAAAAAUUCCUCAUUUCAUCAUGUAUUAGUGUAUGACGUCGGAGAAGAAGAGGCGCUGUAUCCAGGACCUCAAAGUCCAUGACAUGAGGCUCUCUAAUCCGCGACACCCAUGGCUCCGACCAGCAACGCGGGAUGCAUUUAACGCAAUGCUUGAGCAUCACGCGGCGAGGCACGCGACAUGCAGGGCCCGGAUCCCUGGCACCUGGCCCUUAUUCGCAAUCUCCUUUGGAUGCUGCGCUGGGAAAGUAGCCCACUGUAAAAGCCGACGACGACGACAACGACAAAAUGGGUCAAGUGGUGUCAGUCUCUGCCACAAUCUACACAGGAAUUUCGACCUCGCCAGGGCGCUUCCGCAACACGUCGAAAGAUGUAAUCCGCAAUCACCCUUCAGCAACAACCGGAUCAAAGGUGGAGGCUUUGGUUGCAUGAGGAUGGUGAUCAUCAAUCAUCAAACAUUCAAAAAAACAAAAAAACAAAAAAACAAAAAAAAAACCCACUUUCCAUGCUUGUUAAAGAAUUGGUAGAGUGUCUUGCAAGUUGCAAGUUGGUGUGGAGUUGUCAAAUAUGGAGUUGUAUCUUUUUUGAAACUAUUGUGAAAGGGGUUUUUUAUAUUCUGGAAAGAAGUUGCAAGGUUAUGGUAUUUUUUAUUCUUUUGUUGGCUGAUAUUAAGAUGUAGUAUUUAGUUGGUAUGUUUUGUGUUAAGAAAAAUCAGGGCAAAGGCUUUAAGAUGACAAGAUUAGAAUAUACUAUUUUUCUUUCAUGGCAUGAAUAUUGUUGUGUCCUAAAAUUUGCAGUAGAUCUACCUCAAGUGAGUUUUAGAGAAAUUUAGAGAAAUUUUGUCAAAAACUCAUAGUUUUUUUGAGUAAUAUAAAACAUAUAAACGAUAUAUAUUACAAUUUUUAGAAUUUAUAAAUAAAGACACACGUUGAGGCUUAUAAUAAAAUAAUAUUUUGAUUCAUCUUAUGGUCUCUUACGACCGUGUAUUAACUCUAAAAGCCAUAGCUUCUAAAAGAAUUUUCCUCUUUAUAAGCAAUUGACCUUUGUAAGGCUUUUGUACUAUGGCUUUUCAAAAUGGAUUUUUGGAUAUAUUGACCCUUUUAUUUAUUAGUGGAUUUUUUUAUUAUUGUGUAAUAAAGACUAUGCUUCUAUAAAGAUUAAGAUUAGUUAUAAUUUAUUUAUUUAUUUAUUUCUCUUGUUUCUUUCAACUUGGUCAAAUAGAACGUAGUAUAUUCUGUUAUAUUAGAUCUUUUGUGUUUUUUUCUAUAAAAUAUCUAUUUAAUUAAUAUACUUAAAGUAAGACAGCAUUAAUGUUAUCAAUCAUUGACUUGUUUUCAUAAGAAAUAAGAAUAUUUUAAUUAAAAUCUUUCUUCUUCUUUUUUCAAUCAUUGUUGUAAAACCAAUAAAAGAAAUUUAUUUUGUCUGCAUACAAUUAUUUUUUCAGUAUAUAUAUUUAUAUAUAUAAAGAUGAAUAUUCUUUGUAAUUUCUACUUUACAGAUAGAAGAUUCAAUUAUUUUAGUAACAAUUUUUUAAAAUAAAUUAGAAAUUGACUAUUUCCUUAUUUAAAAAAGUAAUGUUACUGAGUAAUAAAUUAUCAUAAAAUUUAUCUUACAAGAACUAGCCAAUCCUAUACACUCAACUAAUAUUCAAUGUAAUAAAAUUAUUGCAACCAAUUUGAAGUAAAAUCUAAUUAAAAAUAAUUGAAGAAAAAAAUUCCUAAUUGCUAGUCCAAUAAAGUAACAAGUUAUUUUUAUUUUAUCUUAAAUUAAAUUAAUUUUUUAUUUAUUUUAAAAACUAAUCUAUUUUUUGUUUUAAACCAAUCUCAGUGAUCUAUAAAAGAGAGUUUAUAUGAAUACAAUCUACACAUAUUUAUGUAUACUGAAGAUAACUAUUAAAUUUAUAUAUUUUUAAAUCACUAACUUAAUCUACUUUCAAGUUGAUGUAGAAAUAUUAUACAUUAUUUGAUUCAUAAUUUCGAACCAAUCUAUAGUAGAGAAGUCAUUUUUAUCUAACUAUAUUUUUAUGAGUUAGAAUCCUAUGCCAAAAUGACUUAGUCAAGGUCUCAUUAUACCUUUUCUGUAUUUUGUUAUACAAUAGAUUUUUUUGCUAUGAAAAAAUAAAAAAAAAUCUAUAUUUCUUAAAGCUAACCAAGUAUUCUAAUAUUGGAAAUAUUUUUAAUUAUCCAAAAAAAAAAAAUGCAAUCAUUCUUAUCUUUAACUUCUACAAUUAUUUAUAUAAAUUAGAUAAGAAACAAUUUGUUUACUUCUAAGUCUUGACUAUCUUGUCUUUUCAAAAGCUUCAAAGAUGUAAUAUAAUCUCUACUGUAAUUCUUCAGUAAAAAUUUAAAUUUUUAAUAAAAUAUAAUUGACUCUAUCAUUCAUUUACCUUUUGAAACUUAUAAAUAAUAUACUAUUAUCAAAAAAAUAAUUUAAUUUUUAUUAUUUAAUUUGACUGUAUCUAUAAAAAUAUUUUUACAAGUGGAUUGUUUUUAUUGGUAUUUAACAUGUAAAUAUGUUUUGAAGCUAUAACUUAAGAAGAUGAUAUUUAUUUUAUUAUAAAAUUAAAAUUAUGUAAAUAUUAGAUUGUGUAUCUAUUUUAUUGUUUUAACUAAGUUAAGUCAAUCACAUUGAUUAGGAUUGAAUUUGUCUUUUGUAUCUAAAAAAAAUCAAAUUCUCUUUCUUAUUUAUAUUUUGGUUUAUGUUUAAUUUCCUUCAAAAAUAUUAUCACAUGAAUAAUUGAAUACUUGUCUAAUUUCUUUUUAAAAUAAUUCAUCUUAUAGUAUUUUUUAAAGCUUCACCAAUUGAACUACUAACGAAAUCUAACAAACAAAAAACUUUAAAAGUAAUAAUGAUAUAGAUACUCGAAAGUCUUAAAAAUAUGACAGUUUAUUAAGAUUUCUUAGUUAUAAUUAUCAAAUUCUUAUUUUAAUAUUUAAUCAAAUUAUUAUUUUAGUUGUAAUUUAAUCAAAUUAUUAUUUUGUUAUAUGUAAAAUUGUUUUUUUAAUAAUUUUAUAAAAAUAAAAAAAUGAAUUUUUAAUUUUUAAUUUUAAGUAAAGUUAAGUCGAUUUUGUUUGGAAAAUUAUAUCUCUCUAAUUACUAACUAAACAUAAUAUUUUUUUUAUCAUACAUGUCUUAAAGCAAUACAAGAAUAAUUCUGAGAAAAAUUAAAUAUUUUGGUAUCUUCUUGCUUAAUAGGUAUAUGUUGUAUUUUAUAAGAUUAAUAGUAGCAUGGCCUCACAAUCUAUUCAGAAAAUUAAAGCAUGCUUGUUGUGAACUUGUAUGCUUUAAGUAUAUAAACAUAGUUUAUCUGCCAAGUGCAAUACAUAUUGAAUUCAUUGUCAUAGAUAUAAAUAAAUAAAAUACAUAAAAACAAAUUUUAUUAUAUAUUUAAAUAAUAAUAAUAAUAAUCAAAUAUAUUAUACAAAGAAACAAAAGAUUUUGAAAUAAUAUAGAAAUAAAAUAGAUAUAUUUUUAACUAUAUAUAUAUAUAUAUAUAUAUAUAUAUAUAUUCUAAUAAUUAUAAAAGACAUGCAAAUACUUUUUAAGAACCAUAAGACUUAGACAAGAAGUGUUUUAAAUUCUUUCUAGACAUAGAUUGCCUUAAUAAACAUGCGGAUUUACAAAAAUAUAUAUAUAUAUAUAUAUAUAUAUAUAAAUUCAUAUAAUUUUAUAAUAAUUCUAUUGAUACAUACAAUUUAAAUUUUAUUUAUAAAGUUUUACACUGUUCUACAAAAAGAUGUUACUUAUUUGAUUUAUAUCUACUAACUUCUAAUUAUUUCUAUUUAUUUUAAUAAUAUUAAUUACAAAGUUACUAUUGAGUUGGAUUUAAUUAGAAAAAAUUAUAAUAAACUAUAGUAUAUCAAAUUUAUCUUUUGUAAAUUAUUCUGGAGAUAUUGAUAAAUACAAAAUAAAAUAUAUAAUUAAUUUAAUAAUGAUGAUAAUAAUAAUAAUAAUAAUAAUAUAUUUAUUUACCAAGCUAAGUUUUAUAUUUAUUAAGACCUAAUUUGGUAAUAUACUAAAAAUUAGAUUAUAAUUUUAAAUGGAUUCAACACUAAAUAGUUGAAUUUUAUAAUGCAAGAUAUACUAGUAUCCAAAACAUUUUAUGUGUUACACAUGUACAUUGUAAUUUGUGUCAGCAACUCAAGUUCUUAGAUUCAUUAUCUUCAAAAAAACAGUGUAUUCGUUAAUUUUGAUAUAAUCAUAAAUAAUUUUAAAAAAAAAUUCACGUAUUUUUAGUUCAAUACUGGAUAUUAUUACAGAAAUACUAAUUAUUUUAAUUAGUUUUCAGUUAUAAAUUUUUAAUUUUUAAUAUGUAUAUUGUGAAAAAUAAAGUUUAUAAUUUUAUCCUUAUUAAAUUAAUUAAUUUAGCCAAUUUUUAAAUUAAUAUGACCAACAGCUCAUAGCAUCUAAUAUAUAUAUAUAUAUAUAUAUAUAUAUAUAUGUAUAUCAAUUUUGUGUAUUCUAAAAGAUAAGAAUAAAAUAUUGUAAUAAUUUCAAUUAAAAAACCUACUUUCUAGGGAGAAAUUUGAAUUACAUAAAUAAUUUUCAGAUAUAUGCAAAAAAAAUUGAAAAAAAUAUAAAAAAUAAAUUAAAAUCAUAAGACUCAAAUAUAAUUUUUAUUUUUUUCAAAAAUAUACAAUUAAUAUAUAUAUAUAUAUAUAUAUAUAUAUAUAUAUGUAUUCAAGUAUGUAAUUGGUAUUUUUUAUAUAGAGAGAUUAGUUAAUGAUAUCAUUCUAUCUUCAAUUACAAUAUAGUUUCUUUUCUAAAGUUUUUUUAAAUAUUACAAAUAGAUACAUAUAUAUUUUUUAAAUAUUAGAUUUUAAUAGUGUACAAGAUUUUCUUUUACAUAGAAAUAAUAAUUUUUUAUAAGAGUAUAGCAUAAGAUACUUAAAAUAAUAAAAUCUAAUACACAUUAUAUAUAUUAUAAGUAGUUUUAAUAUUUUAUUAUAUAAAGUAAAUAAAUUGAAGUUGAUUUUCUUGUACAUGAUUUUCUCUAGAAACUUAUUUGAUAGUAUAUACCUUAAUAUAUUCAUGAAAUGAAAUAUUUUAAUUUUUAACAAAUUUACAUAAAACUAGUUUCAAGGGUUUAAAUUUAUUUUCAUUUUAAAUUUAAAAUAUAAUAAAUGAUUUGAAUUAUAUGUGUUCACUUAUAGAUAUUGAUUGUUUUUAAAGUCUUUCAUGCAUAUGUAUGUUAAGAAGUUAUUUGAAUCGUGUUAAAAUUAUUUUGAGUUUUUUAAUAUUUUAAAUUAUAUAAAAUUUUAAUAAUUUUCAAAGAUUUAACUUUUUUAAAUCAUUAAAAUUAAAAAGAAAAUAUUGCAUGCUAUUGUUGAAUUAAAAGUAAACUUUAAAUUAUUUUAAAACAUCUUAUCAAUUAUUGGUCCUAAGUUUGAUUUCAUAACUUUAAAUUACAUUUGAGUAAAAUAAUCAAAGAAAAGACUAUCUUUAUAACUAUUAAAUUCUUUCUAUUUAUCUAAAGUGAUAAAUUAUAGAAUGGUAUUUUUAUUGUAUUGAAAAGAAUCAAUAAUCUCAGUUUGAAUUCUAUCUUUGUUACAAUAUUAUUAGUGAUAGAAAUAGUUUAAAUAUUAUAAAACAUUUAUCAAAACAAGAUCAUGAUUCUAAAAUAUUUGUGGUUAUUACAUUCAUUAGGAUUCAUACUUAAUUUUGAAAAAUUGUUGAAAACAUAACAAAUGCUUGUAUUAAUAAUAUGUAUAAUAAGAUUAUUAAAAAGAGAAGUUGGUUUCUAAAUAAACCUUAAAGAAUAUUACAACUAGUGGAAAAUGUAUAUAUAUAUAUAUAUAUAUAUAUAUAUAUGAAAUUAAUGAUUGUAUUUUCUAAUGAAGAUUAGAUAUCUUUAAAAAUACAACUAAUAUUCACCUAAAUAUUAUUUUUGAUAUAUAGUUAAAUACACAUAAAAUAAAUGAAUAAAAACAUAACAAAUUUUUAGAUCAAUAUAAGAAAAUAUUAGAGAUAGAAACCAUUUUUUAAUUUUUAGUUUUAUUAUUUUUAAUAUAUAUAUAUAUAUAUAUAUAUUAUUUUUAAUAGAUAUAUAUAUAUAUAUAUAUAUAUUUAAAUAUUCCUUUUAAGUUUCCUAAAUUCAACUCUUGUGAAAAAUCUCUUAUAAACACUACAAAAACAUUAGAAUUAUGGAGUCAUUACUUUGAAUUGCAAUAUUUUUAAAUUUUAAAUUGAACUAAAUUUAACUUCAUAAUUAUUCAAAUUUUGUCAAACCUCUAAAACAAAAAAUAAUAAUAUAAAAAUUGUAGAAAUAAAUCAUAUUCACAUGCGUCAUAGUAAAGACCAUUCAAGAACCUUACUUGAUUGAUUUGAAUACAAUUACACUGAAAUGUUUGUUACAAUAAAUAUACCAUCUUAGUCUUUGUCUUAACAAUUAAACUCUGUUGAUAUUAUUGAUUAUACAAGACAUACUCUCCAAAAUACGACGCCAAAAAGUCUAAACUAAUCGGAGGUGUGUAUGAAAAACCUGUAAUGAGAGCUUCAACUGGCACCUCAAUACAUGCAACCCAUGCGCUGCAAAUUGUAAGAAUGUUCAAACAAAUAGACAACCUUCAGUUUAUCAUAAGUUUCCAUUCGAGGUUUUGAACAAUUGGAUUGCAAAUUCUCCGGACUUCAUUGCACUGCCGUCAUGAGUAAAUCCGUAGCUCCAAAGUCUGCUCCAUCUUUCCACAUUGUUCAGACUGAAUGAUUUCAUGUAAAAAGUUCUCUAUCUUCCCUUCUCUUCGUCUUGCAACUUAAACAGAGUUGCAAUUUUAGAUUCGAAGCAAAGUGUUGAAAUUUACAAAUCAACUGACCCCUUCAAUACCAAACCAGUGUAACAUGAUACUUUGAACACCCACUUUGAAAUGCCACUCUCGAAUAGAACUACCACAAAAAUACCGUUCUACAAACUACUCACAUCAGUUUUCUUUACCUGUAAGGUCGGAUGAAAUGAGCAAGACAAAACGAACUUAGCUUCUUCCAGUUUGUCACGGUCACUCUGAGCUUUGCAAAAACAGUGUCUUUUGUUUUUUGGUAUGCGCUAAAUAAUGGUCGUUUAAGAAGAAAGCUCGUUGUAUUCCCCCUGCAUCGAGUAACAUCACGAGGAGCAUCAGAAUAUAUCAAUAUGAUCACUUUCUCGAACAUAGACUUGGUGAAUUAUGUUGGUCGUGACCCGCUUCAAGCUCCGACAACAAAUAGAUUUCAUCUGCAACUCGCGUGCAUGACGUUGAUUAUUGCUGCAUAACGCCUCCUUUUCACUAAGUAAUAUUAAUUGAUUACUGAGAAUGUCUUGAGCCCAUCAGACGGCACUGUAAUCACUUCAUGACUUCGUGAUCUUCAUCAUGGUACAUAAUAAGAAAUCCAAGGAGAAGAGACUAGGGCUUUGUGGGAAGAUGCAACACAAUUUUAGAAUGCCGAUGUACUGCAACACUGGAAGAAGUGAAUUUAGUCUCUCGUAUUCUGUGGUUUAUAGGUCAGUCUUAGCAGCAACGGGCAUCGAAACAGGAGCAUCAUAAGCUCAUUGCUUCUCUGCCACCGACUGUGUCAUUUGGAUGCCUCACAUGAGCAUUAAUUUAGAUAAUCAGGAAGACGUCUUGAAAUGCUUGUCGAUGAUCAUAUUCACACUAGCUAUGAUUCUACAGAAGUGGCAAUCUCCAAAGCAAGUCCACAUGGUUGUUACUGAGAGAUAGAAUGCUUUCCAAAACCGCAACGGUGAAUGACCCGUAUAUUCAGAACCUACGUUUCCAUUCACAUUCUGAUGCUCUGAUUGGAACUUUGCCAAGGUGACGAUCAAUUUCUUGAGUGGUGUUCUUUUUGUUUCUUAUUACCCGGUCCUUGCAGCAGGAAUUGCUAUAUGGUGUGGCGUCAGUUUCCUGCUCAUCCCCAGCAACCACCCGAUAUCCUCAAACACACUCAAUCAGCCGUCAUUUGUACAGUGGGUGCUCCGAAAUUUUCAAUCUACGCUAACUCAGAUAAAUAAAUAAAAAAAACUAACCGCUGAGAUGCAAAAGACGAAUACCCUCCGAUGGACACCAAAUUAAGGAGCUCGUACUUGUCAAAAACCUUUGGAACAGAAUUCCCAGUUAAACCUGCUCCUGAAGUUACCCAUCGAUCCCAGCCCAUACUUCACAACGCUCCUGACCUGGCACUCACGGAAGUUUGAGCACAAUAGGGUACUAAAAUUGAAAUUUGUCUACAUAGAGAAUGCAAAGCAUCCGUCAAGAAGAUACAAAAUGCGAAUUCUGUAUCCAGACCGCAACACUAUUUAUACACCCUUUCAGUGACCCAGAACUGCGAGCAUGUAGAGGGUAUUUGAUAGAAUUGCAGUAGUAUAACGUUCCAAGAUUUCAUACCCUUCUCAACCUAUCAUACAAUGCUGGGUACAGUCUUCUCGGCAGUGAGCGUGGAGCUCAUUCAUGUGCUUAAAACUAACGCACCACCUUUCUAAGACGAACACUACUACUUCACACCUUCAGGAAUGAACCAUUGUUUCCCAACCGAGAAGACGGACACGAGCAAGGUUCAAUCCGAUAACUCAAGGAAUUAUUUUGCCCCCUCUCUUUCACGGCAGUGAGCACAACAUGAGAGAGGAAUGAAAGAGAAACGACGGCGCAUCCGAUCUGCACAUAGUGGUUUGAUUGAUCGUUUUUUAAUAAUAGGGGUUUCAAACAUGGCACUUUUGCAAAACAAAAUAAUUGGGAUUCAGCACCCGUUGUUUCCAGGAUCACUCAAAAUAUGUAAUCCAAAAUAUCACUGUUCAAUCUUUACUACCCCUUGAUAUUACCUUUGAUUCAAGAAAACUGAGGCAAGCAACAUGGUUUUUGAUAUUCGACCUAUUCCUCUUUUGAUAUUUCAAUUUCAAAAUCACCCAUGUUGCAAGGUGGGUGCUUUAGUGAAGUAUCAAGUGAUAUUUUGAAAUAUCACAAGAUACUUCAAGCUUGCAUCAAGGUUGAAAUAUCAUCCGAAAAAAACCAUGUUUAAAACUCCCUGAUGUUAAUGAGAAUAAUAUUAACAAAUAACCUCACUUUCACCUCUUAAAUACAUUUGCAAACCAACCUUCAGUAAGUUUACAUUAUUAUACAUAUGGUGUGUUAAUCCUCUAAACUCCAAAGAAUCAUGAACAAGAGUGACAUCACACAUUCAUUGUGAAAUAAAUUGAACGAAAUUGAAAGAAAAUCCCAUAAAAAAUGACGUAUACAUUAAUAAACAAACACCUUAGUUGGCUAUAUCUCAGUCAGAUUAUUCAAAAUAGCUUAAAUUGGAUUGAGAAUAUACCAAUUAUAAGCAACAACAAAAUUAGAUAUUGUUGUUAUUUUUGAAGUUAUUUCCAUCAGCACAUGUCGAAAAUAUUAAUAGCAAUGCCCAUAGGAUGGCAUGUCCAACACAUUAGUUAACAAUAGUGUUUUAUUCUUAAAACAUUCAUCACACCACAAUUUUUAUUAGCAUCCAUAAGCCACUACACAGAAUCUAACUAACAGUAAACAUAUAUUUCGAAAUAGUAAUGUGUAAACAAUUCCACCUUCAGAACAUGCAAAAACAAUACAAACUCAGUAAUAGUUGCAUGACAGCUGUCGGUAUCUAAAACCCCCCUUUCCUCGCUCUUUCCUUUCGGGCCUUCGUUUGGGGAAAACCAAUUUUCCUUUUCUUUUUCCCUUUCCGAGAAAGGCACCGAUGGCGUGUGACGUGGCCACCUUGCUUAUCGCUCCUGCCAAAGAUGCCACGCGGGACCACUCCACGUGGAACUUAUGACGUGGAUAAUGAUGUGGUCGUCCAACUAGGAUAACUUGGCGACGUGGAUGCCAGCACAGCACAGGACAACCAUAAACUUUCUUUAAUUACCCGGAUUAGUGGGCCAGCCUAGUUACUUUUAAAAAGUCGCCGUUCACACGGGAAGCGCCGGUGGGGACCAGCCACACCGGACCCGACUCAACCCGACCCGAGUCGGCCCCGCAUUGUUAAGCGUGCAACGUUAAGGGUAUCAAUCAAUGAGUCAAACAUCUCCCCGGAUACGCGAUGAUCACAAGCUUUGGAUGGACUGGACCACAAGAGCUCUGAGAUGUACAUAGAGCAUUAAAGAGCAUUCAAGUGCAUUAGAGUGAUGCUGUCUGAAUAUUCGUUGUUGAGGGAGUGUGUUGUUUAAACCACAAUUUGAUGAAUGACGGUAGAAAUUAUGGAAUGAAUGAAAUAUAUCAUAUAAAUAUGUGUGUGUGUGUGUGUGUGUUUAUUUUAAUAGUAGUUUAUAUUUAAUCUCUAGUGUUACAUUAUUGUGGCAUAAACUAUGACGAGAAAUGUGGUUUGUUGGACAGUCACAUAAACAAUAAUAUCCUGACACGAAUACAUCAAUUGUUGACAAUUAGGUAUGAACUAUGCCCAUCUACCAAGAAAAUUAAAGAAUACAAAAUAGGUGAACUUAAACGUAGAUAUAAUUUUGAACAAAUUGUAUGCAUGUAUGUAUGUGUGUGUGUACGUGUAUGUAUAUAUUGAUAAUAAAAAAUUAAGAACCUUAAUGUAUCACCACGUAUAAUUUAGGGCAUGGGUAUUAUGGUACCCAGUUCCAAACACUUUAAGAUUGUAACCCUUGGGAAUACAACUAAAUACUUGUGCAUAAGUUCCCAAGUUGAAUUCCCACCCUCAUGGUUAGAAAGAGCCUUAAAAGUUAUCAAAAUAUUGGGGGUUGUUGGGGAGCACCAAAAUAAUUUUUGGUGAUGAUAAGUUACCCAUUCUAAUUUCAAUGUAAAUUAUUUAUAUUUGCAAAUAAUUAAUGUGUACAUAAAGUGUUCUCUCUUAGCAUCCAUAAGCACCCUUUUUUCUAGUUACUAAAAUUUUUAGUUUUAUCUGUGUAUACAUAUGUACACACAUAAGUAUGUGAACUUAAAUGUUUUGAUAAUAUUAUUUUUAGGCAACAGCUUAGCAAAAGAAUUUGUUCACAAAGUUCUUAUUUUGAAAUAAUACAUCAAAAAACUUGCAAUCAAAGGAACCACAAUAUUGAAAACCUUUUCUUCUUUUUUUUGUUCAAAUUCUCUCUAAAAUUCAAUAGAACCACUAAUGUUUCCAUUCAAAAUUUGAAGCACUUCCUAUCAAGGGGUUUCAAACAUGGCACUUUUGCAAAACCAAAUAAUUGGGGUUCAACACCUAAUAUUUCUAUGAUAAUUCAAAAUAUCAGAUCCAAAAUAUCACAAUUCAAGCUUUAUUGUCCCUAAUAUUACCUCCUGAUUCAAACUUUAAUACUCCUUGAUAUGGAGUCAAAGAGGGAAGAAAGUUGAAGCAAACAAUGCAGUUUUUUAUAUUUGACUAUAUUUGACCAUCCCCUCAUUUGAUAUAUCAAUUUCAGAAUCACCCACUUCACAAGGUGGGUGAUUUGGUGAAAUAUCAAAUAAUACUCUAAAAUAUCACAAGAUAUUUUGAGCUUGCAUCACGGGUGAAAUGUCACCCAAAAAUGCCAUGUUUGAAACCUCUUAAUAAAAAUUUCUGUAAAAUGCACUUUUGAGCAAGUCUAGUUGUUCUGACUAAAAAUUCAGUAAACCACUUAGUACUUACAAACAGUUAACCUGGAAUGUCUGCAGUCCUAUCUUUGUGAAAUAAACAAGUCAACAACUGUAAACUAUUUUUUAUUAUAAAAUUUUUGGUAUUCAUUUAUUUUUAUCUGGAGUUCUUUGUUUUGCAUUUGGAGCUUUCCAUGUAACAGGCUUAUUUGGCACUGGUAUUUGGGUAUCCGAUCCUUAUGGAUUAACUGGAAAAGUACAACCUGUUGUUCCAGCUUGGGGAGCUGAAGGUUUUGACCCUUUUGUUCCAGGAGGGAUAGCUUCUCACCAUAUUGCAGCAGGUAUUUUAGGUAUACUAGCUGGUUUAUUCCAUCUUAGUGUUCGUCCUCCUCAACGAUUAUAUAAAGGAUUACGUAUGGGGAAUGUUGAAACUGUUUUAUCUAGUAGUAUUGCUGCUGUAUUUUUUGCUGCUUUUGUUGUUGCUGGAACUAUGUGGUACGGUUCUGCUGCAACUCCAGUAGAAUUAUUUGGCCCUACUCGUUAUCAAUGGGAUCAAGGUUUUUUUCAACAAGAAAUCGAUCGUCGAAUUCGUGCUAGUAAAAGCGAAAAUUUAAGUUUGUCAGAAGCUUGGUCUAAAAUUCCAGAAAAAUUAGCUUUUUAUGAUUACAUUGGUAAUAAUCCAGCUAAAGGUGGAUUAUUUAGAGAGGGUGCUAUGGAUAAUGGAGAUGGAAUAGCUGUUGGAUGGUUAGGUCAUGCUGUUUUUCUCACUAUAAUAAAAUCUAUGGAAGCAUUGGUUUAUACAUUUUUAUUGGUAGGUACUUUAGGAAUAAUCUUUUUUGCUAUUUUUUUUCGUGAACCACCUAAACUUCAAACUAAAGAAAAAAAAUAAUUUUUUAUUUUGAUAAAAAAUUACGAACCUUCCCUUUUUAUUUUAGGGAAGGUUUUUAAUAAUUAAUUUAAUCUUCAUGCUCUUCAAAAGGAUCUCUAAGUUCUUUAGAGGGUUGCCCAAAAGCUGUAUAAAGAGCAUAGCCAGUAAAACUUACGAGUGAACACGAUAUAAAUAUAGCGACUAAUGUUGCAGUUUCCAUUUUUAAGUAGUUCCAAAAGAAUGGUUUAUUUUUAAUUAAUAUAAUAGUACACAAAGUUAACAAAUCUCAACUAAUGCAAUAAAAUUUUAUGGCUACACAAAUUAUUGAUGAUACUCCUAAAACAAAAGGAAAAAGAAGUGGUUUAGGAGAUAUAUUAAAACCACUUAAUUCAGAAUAUGGUAAAGUUGCUCCUGGAUGGGGUACAACACCUUUAAUGGGUGUUGCAAUGGGAUUAUUUGCUGUUUUUUUAGUUAUUAUUCUUGAACUUUAUAAUUCUUCCGUAUUAUUAGAUGGAGUUCCUGUAAGUUGGUAAUAACUUAAAAAGGUUCAAUAAAAAAGUUUAAACUUUUUUAUUGAACCUUUUUAAGUUAUUACCAACUUUAUUUAUUUACUAAAGGUAGUUUAAUCGUGUAAUCAAUUAAUUAAAGGAUUUAUGGAUUAUGGGUGUGCGACUUGGUUAGAUAAAUGAAAUUUAAAAAAGACAAAAUAAUUUGUUAAUCUUAAAAAAAAGAUAUUUUAUUUUAUUAAAUGUUAAUAAAUUUAAUAUUUAAAGCAUAAAUUUCAAUUAAAAUAUUAGCAAUUUUUUUUUAAUUUAAACUAUGAUUAAUUUUUUUAAUUUACUAUUUAAAUUUCGUUACCAAAUUUAAGUGUUUUUACUCUUUAAAAGUUUAUAAUGAUUUUAAAAAUUAUUUACCUAUUAUAAUUUUUUUUUAGUCAUCGGAAUAUAGUAAAAAUCUAAAGUUUAAUUAUUUUUAAUAAAUUUUAAACAAGAAAAUCUUUAAAAAAAAAUUAUUCAUUUUAAAGAAGAAGAUCGCUCAAAAAAGCAAUUAAUAUAAAAAGCUAACUUGAGAUAAAAUAUAAAAAAUAUAUAAAAAUUUCGAUUUAUAUAUAUAUACUUUUUUAUUUUUAAGCCGUAUGAAAAAAAAUUAUCAUUUACGGUUUGUAGAGAGGAAAUACAUAAAAGUUUGUCUAUCUCAAUAGAGUAUACGAUUGGUUUGAAGAACGUCUUGAAAUUCAAGCAAUUGCAGAUGAUAUUACUAGUAAAUAUGUCCACCACAUGUGAAUAUAUUCUAUUGUUUAGGAGGCAUCACCUUAACUUGUUUUUUAGUUCAAGUAGCAACUGGGUUUGCUAUGACUUUUUAUUAUCGUCCAACUGUUACUGAAGCUUUUGCAUCUGUUCAAUAUAUCAUGACUGAAGUUAAUUUUGGCUGGUUAAUUAGAUCAGUUCAUAGAUGGUCCGCGAGUAUGAUGGUUUAAUGAUGAUUUACACAUAUUUCGUGUUUAUCUUACAGGGGGUUUCAAAAAACCUCGUGAAUUAACUUGGGUUACUGGUGUUAUUUUAGCAGUAUUAACAGUUUCAUUCGGUGUAACUGGAUAUUCUUUACCUUGGGAUCAAAUUGGUUAUUGGGCUGUUAAAAUUGUAACAGGUGUACCUGAAGCUAUUCCUGUUAUAGGCUCACCUUUAGUAGAAAUAUUAAGAGGAAGUGUUAGUGUAGGUCAAUCUACAUUAACUCGAUUUUACAGUUUACAUACUUUUGUAUUACCACUUCUUACUGCAGUGUUUAUGUUAAUGCACUUUUUAAUGAUUCGUAAACAAGGUAUUUCAGGUCCUCUAUAAAUUAUUAGAAUAUAAUUUUUACUAAAUUUUGCUGACAUAAUAAAUUUUUAAUAGUAAAUUUUUACUAUUAAAUUUUUAUUAUGAACUAAAUUUAUUUAUUGCCAUAAAUUAUUUUUAGUUUAACGCUUAAAAAAAAUUUAUGGAUUUUCUGUAUUUUAUUUAAACAUUUAAAUAAAAUAUAUCUUUAUUUAAAAAAAAAUUUUAAUUAUGGGAGUGUGUGACUUGAAUUAAUUAUUGACUAUGUAGAUUUUUUAUUUAGUCUACCACAUUAAUUAUAAAAUUUAAAUGUGUUGUUAUCCUAAAUUAUUUUAAUAAAAAUAAAAAAACUUAGGUAAAUUUUUUUAAACAAAUUUUUUUCUAUGAUUUAUUUUCUAAAUAGGCUUCAUAAAAUUUAAUAAAUAAUUAAUAUAUGUAUAUCUGUAUUAUUUCUAUAUGAUAUAUAUUAAAAUAAUGUGAUAAAAAACAUCAUUCAUUUCCGUUGGGUUUUUUAAUAUAAAAAUCAUAGGAGUAAAAAAAAAAUCUAAGGAAAAAAAAAGUUAAUAUACUAACAAGUUAAGUUUAAAUAAGUACAAAAUUUUAUAGAUAAUAAAAAAACUUAUAAAAACUAAGACUAUCCAAAAUGCAUAUUAUAAUAAAUUAAUUAUAAAAAAAUUUCAAAAAAGCAUACUUGGAUUUUGAACUUUUUUAAAUAAAUAAAAUUUAAAUAAAAAUAGUUUGAGUUGGAUGAAUAAAAAAUUCAUGUCCAAUUCUUUAAGGGGAAUAUUUUUUAAAUAGCCUAUCUUAAUAACAAAAAAACCUGAUUUAAGUGACCCUGUUUUACGAGCUAAAUUAGCUAAAGGUAUGGGUCAUAACUAUUAUGGAGAACCUGCUUGGCCUAAUGAUCUUUUAUAUAUUUUUCCAGUUGUUAUUUUAGGUACUAUUGCAUGUACUGUAGGCUUAGCUGUUUUAGAGCCUUCUAUGAUUGGUGAACCAGCAAAUCCUUUUGCAACUCCUUUGGAAAUUUUACCUGAAUGGUACUUUUUUCCAGUUUUUCAAAUACUUCGCACAGUUCCUAAUAAAUUAUUAGGUGUUCUUUUAAUGGCUGCAGUACCUGCAGGCUUAUUAACAGUACCUUUUUUGGAAAAUGUAAAUAAGUUUCAAAAUCCUUUCCGUCGUCCAGUAGCAACAACUGUUUUUUUAAUUGGUACUGUAGUAUCUAUUUGGUUAGGUAUUGGAGCAGCUUUACCUAUUGAUAUAUCAUUAACUUUAGGGCUUUUUUAAUAUUAGACUAAUCUAAUAGAUUCUUUUUUUUAUUAAUUAAUUAGAGUAUUUACUUCAAAGUAAAUACUCUAAUUAAUUAAUAAAAAAUAAUUUUUUUAAAUUUAAUUUAGUUAUUUUUUUAUUUAUUAAAAAAAAAUAGAAAAAGACUUGAUUAAAAAAAAUUUAAGUAAUAUAAUCAUAAAGUGAUUAUAUUAAUUUGUUUAACUAAUAAAAAUUUAUUAAAUAUUAAUUUUUUUUUUUAUAUUUUUUUAAACAAAAAACGGCGACAUGGCCAAGUGGUAAGGCAGAGGAUUGCAAAUCCUUUACCCCCAGUUCGAAUCUGGGUGUCGCCUAAAAAAGUAAAUUUAUUAAAAAGAGUUGGAUUAACUACUAUGUCAUGUUUUAAAUAAAAACUGUAUUGCUCUAUAAUUUACUUUAGCCUAGUACUUUUUUUUUAUUUAAACGCAUUAUUAAUAGAUAAUCCUAACAUUAAGAAUAAAUCAAAUAAAUAAAAAAAGCAAGUCUUUUAAUAUUUACAUACUAACUAUUUAUCUAUAUUUCUUAUAAUAAAAGAAUAUGAUAUAUAUAUAUGUAUGUAUAGUCUUUUUUUUGUUAUAAAUACAAAAACAUUAUAAAAAAAUAAUUUUUUAUUUAUUUUUCUUAUAAGUAUUAUUUAUAAUUAAUUUUUAUUUUAACAUUUAUAAAAACAUAUGGAUAUAGUUAAUAUUGCUUGGGGUGCUUUAAUGGUAAUGUUUACAUUUUCUCUUUCACUUGUCGUUUGGGGAAGAAGCGGAUUAUAAAAAUUAGAUUUAAAAUUUAAUGUUUUUUUUAUUUUUAUAUUUUUUUUAUUAAAUAUAAAAAUAAAAAAAAGCAUUAAACUAAUUAGAUUAUACUUUUACUAUUUAAUAAAUUAAUUUGUAUAAGAAAUAAAAAAAGUAUAAUCAAUUUUUUCCCACCCUUUAUAAAAUUUUUUUUUUAAUUUUAUUUUUUGAUAAUUUUUAUUUUUCUUUAAGUUUUUUUUUUGUGAAAUAAAAUAAUUAUUAUUUUUUUUAGAAAAAAUAGUAAAAUUUAAUUUAUUAUUCCGUAAGUAUAACUUUCUACUAUAAAAAAAAUGGCAGUUCCACUUAAAAGUAUUUGUGAUAAUAAAAGAAUUGGAUCUAAUCGCCAACCUUGAAAAAUAAGAAUCCCUCCACAUAAUAAUCCAAUUGAUGAAAAAAAUGAAUCAUAAUAUUAAGAUAGGUUAAUGUUUUUAUUUAUAGACAUGACCCUCUUAAAAACCAUACAUGAUAUUUUAAUUUCUUUAUGGCUUAAACAUUAAAAUGAAAAAAAAACCUUAUAAAAUUUAAAUGUUCUAAAUCCAAGUAAGUUUAAAAAGAAUUUUGAAAAAAAAAACUUUUUGGAUUGUCUUUUCUUGUUUGAUUUUAUUUUUACAACAAGUUUAUUUUAUUUAUACUUAAAUUUAUUUAACAUUAUCCUUAGGCUCAUUUUAUAUUUCAUGGAUUUAAUUAUUUUUAUUUCUAAAGAUAUAAAAAUAAAAUUAAAUAAAAAAAAAUAAAUUAUUUUUAGUUGUUAUUUAAUUAAAGUUCCAAUUUUCUUUAAUUUAAAAUUUAAGCAUGUUUUCGAAAUAAUGUUUUAAUUAUGUUCAAUUUUUAGCCAUAGAUUUUUUGAUAUAAUUUUAAAUUUUAUUUCAAGUUUUCUAUUUAUUAUUUAUUGUUAAUUUUGUUAAAUAGAAAUAAUAGAAUUAGCAAAAAAGCUGUUUGUACAUAAAGAAUUAGCAAAAAAGCUGUGGGGAUUAAAAUGAACAAUGCAGUAGCAAUAAAUGCAAGAAUAUUUACUUCCAUAUGUUUAUUAUAUUAAUGUUUAGUUUACAAUACUAAAAAAUAUCAUCUGAUUUUAUUUAUAAAUUUUUUAUUAUCAGUUUAAUUAUAAAAUUAAGCAGUUUAAUCAAAAUAUUUGAAAUCAAAAGAAUAUGAUUUUAUUUUUUUGAGUUUACAGGUUUAGGGUUUAUGUAAAUUUACACGUUUUUAUAAUAAAUUUGAAUUUAAAACAUAAUGAAACUAGAUAUCAUAUGUACGUUUUUUCAAUGAAAAUUUGCACUAGACUAUCAGUUCUUUGUGUAAAAUAAUGCAAAUUUUGAUUGUGAUUAUUUAUCCAAAACUAGUGAAUUCUUUUGUAUUUAGUAUUUAAUGUGCAUUUCACGUUGUUCUACAAUUCAUAUUCAAAACUUAGCAAUGAUUAUAAUUGGUAGUAUAUUGUGGCUGUAAAUGUAAAAUAAUUGCUAACAGAGAACGUAUGCAAAAAAAACAUGUACAUUGUUCGUCUGGACUUGUACAAGCACCGAUUUUAUAAUAAUAAAAAAUGUAGUUAUUUUAAUUCUUAAUUCUACUUUAAUAUAAUAAAAAUUAUCUAAAUUUGCUUCCAAUGUUCUAUGCCUACAGAAAAUUAUGUUGUUCUUUUUUGAGCAGAUCCAGGAUGGGAAACAUGAUAAAUACUUCAUCUAAUUGAUCUACUAACACAAGUGUGGCAUCUCAGAGAUAUCACAUGUAGAGGCUUAUAAAUAAUAUUAAAAGAAUUAAUCUUACAUAGAAGGCAAAAAUCUUCAUAUGUAUCAUCGUCAUUAUGAUUAAAAUGUUGCUUUUAACUAUUAUAGUAAAACCUUUAAAAAAUCAAAAUUGUAUAUGUAUGUAUAUAUAUAUAUAAAUAAACAGACACAUCAACACAAUUUCAUGAAAUUGCACUGAAUUGUAUAGUUGAGUUACUAUUGUAAAAAUGUGAUAAACAACCAAUUACUUCUGCAAUUGUCAGUGUUAUGUUCAAGGAAGUGAUAAUCAGUUCAAGAUUUUAAAGACAAUAAUAAUUUGAAGAUCUCACGAACACUUUCCUCUUCAGGAUAAAAAUAAAUAUGAAUCAUUAAAAACCAGAAGCAGGUAGUGCAUAAUAAUUUUACAUUUAAAGAAAACGUUUAACAAAAAAACUACAUUAUUGCUUUAAAAGUAAUAUAUUCUGUUUUUUAGUCAUCUUCUUUUUGUAUACAAUAAUGCAUGUGAUGGUUUUUGGGGGUUUUGUUAUUACUAUUGUAUUUGAAUAGGCACAAAGAAACAUAUUUGUUAUUACAGAUAUUGAUUCACUGUAUUUAAUUUUAUUUAAAGAAAAUAACAGUAACAAUGGUUGAUAUAUAUAUAUAUAUAUACAUAAACAGAACUGGCUGUUGUAAUGAAUAAUGAUCUUGGUUUGCAGAAUUUUAAAAUUUAUUUGGGUGUUUUGCCACAAAAUUGAACAAGUUUGAUUUUCAAGCUAAGAUCAUUUUAAAAUAGUAAGAAAAUGACCAUCGCAGGGGAACCUUAUCAACUUUUAAUUGAAAGGAUCUCAUGAAAUUGAGGAUUUUACUAAACAAAAAUGUAAUGAUAGGUGAAGAAUAUCCUCAACAUUCAUUUGUUUGUUUAUUCAAUGUUUUACAAUAAAUGAAAUUAAUAUGCUACACUAUAAUUCCUUAAACGCACACUAUAAACGAUUAAGAUAUUAUCUAUAGAAAUGCAUUAUUUGGACACACCUUUCAUUAUUUAGCCUUUCAUAGACGAAUAGAGCACGAGGACAAUUAAAUGGAUGAAUGAAAAUACAUAUAUGGAUGAUAAAAGAUGGAUGAAAUACCAGGGUGGCAGAAAAUGAUUUCCCGCGCACACGCGGGAAAGGAACUUGCGAUGAAGGAACGGAAAGUCAACUUCAAUGGAACACACGACGAGGCCACACGGCACUCCAAGACCUCCACGUCAUUCAUCCAUUCGCUUUAGUGGUAAAGCUUGAUUAUGGUCACACUGUUGAAAAACGUUCACGAAAGUAAAAAGUAUGAAAAAGUAUAUAAAAAGAUGUUACUUUUAGAAGAUAGAUUCGGUUUCAAACCCUACUUUGAUUGCCAUGUAGGGUUUGAAACCGAAACUAUCUUCUAAAAGAUUUUGGUAUUCAAUUCGCACAAUUGUAUUCUUAUCCUCACUAGCAAUGGGGACGAAUCAACAUGUUGUAUGCUUACAAUUCUUUAAACGUCAAAAAGCAUGACACAAUGCAAAAAGAUGACAAGUAGUAGUAAAAUAUUAUUUCUAAACGUGCCUGUGGAUGUUGUUCGAUAAAUAUUAAAAGAAAUAAACUACACCAUGUUGUUGUUUAAUAAAAAUGAUAUACUUUUGUUUUGAUAAGAAUGGAAGAUUCGAAACUUGUUUUUUACGUGCACUUUUAUGUUCACAACGUGGAGCCAGAGAAAAUAUGUUUUGUGGCUGUUAGCAAUGAAGGUACUCAUUUUGAAAACAUUUUUUAAAAAUACUACUUGCACAGGAAAUAUUGAUUUUAUGAUUUCAACAUUGAAUUCUGUAGAAAUUUACAAAAGCAAAAAAAUGAAAAUGUCAGAACAAGAUUUGAAUAAUUUUAUUCAUUUAACUCAGUCAUACCUCUCGUGGUUGCUUAGGGUUUCAUGUGGGCAAUAUUCAAACAUAAAAAUGAACUAACAUUAUUUUUGAAUUUGCUAUCGUGUAUUAUAACAUGGUCACGUUGCUGUAUAUGGGAUAAAAAUGCACAAUUUCUAUAAUUGUCUUAGCAUGUUACAACAUAAUCUAGUCCUGUAUUUUAAUUUAAUAUAUUAAAUCAUUACAAAUUCAAAUCAGUAAAAAAGUAAAAUAAAGACAUACUUAACUUAUCAAAAAAACUAAUUGAAGGUAAAAGACGUACAAAUACUCCUGCAAAAUAAACCGAACAAUUUCGAUAUUAUGGGGUAAACAAUAGUUACAAAAGAAGAGAUACGAAUAUACACGAACGUACACACCCAGAUGGAGGAUCGCAUACGUACAAGUUCGUAUAAAUACGACACAUAUCACACACUCUCUGGGCCCGAAAGGAGCGAAAUCGAGCCCUCCACGUCAAACACUGCGCGCCAAAAGAGGAGACGGAUGGGGAGAGUGAGCUGUCAAGGAUCGGACGGAGAAACGGAACCAGGGCAGAUCGGACGGUUUAGAGAGGGGGCAAGGGGAGCGGGACUAGGGCUUGGCCCGUCCAGCUAGGAUGGGAUGAGGGGGGACGGGUAUGGGGGCUCUCCACCGUGGUCAGCGUCACAUCAGCGCCAUUUUGCCUUGUAGGACCAGCAAACUGGUGAUGGUGUGCUGCCCCUCGCGAGAUAGUUUUCGUGGCACAGACAAGUCGACGGAAACCAAACAGGACGGAAGAGACGGCAAGUCGUCGACGACGUCGACGGAGUUUGUGAAACGUUCAUGCAGGUGACGCACGGAGCGAAGCCGCUGCGCCACGCUUCCCGUCGGUGAGUGACUCGACUGACGCAAAGCUUGCUUGGUUUGUUGCAUCCAUUGGUGAAGAGAGAGAGAGAGAGAGAGAGAGAGAGAGAGAUAUAGGGUGAGCGAUGGUGGUUCAGGGGCAGUAAGAGGGAUUUUGCAGACGGGAAAGGGAGGACGUGGAAGGUCCAUUUGUCUUUUUCCGUUCGGUGUCUCCUCCUUCUGCGGCUUGUCUGGCUUGCUUGGCUAGUUCGGGCCUCCAGCCGGUUCCACAUGGUCUCUCAGUAUUGCUGCCUUGGCACACUUCGUUGCCAUUUCAUCUCCCGACUCUGCCAACUCUGCAUACUCGGCAACGCGUAGGUAUGCAUGUGUGCCACUCGGGUCGAGUGUCAUGUUCAACCCUCCCCUCCUCUCAUGUUGCCAGAUCUUCGUUUGUCGGUGUAUAACCCUCGCUUGUCCUGUCGUCUUGAUGCUAUUGUAGUGAAUAUUGUCCGGGGGUGGGUAUUUGUUUUCGGCGGUGCUUUUGUUGCGCUGUUGGUAUUGGUAUGUUGUUGUGUGUAGUCCGUUUCGAUGAAGUGCUAGAUAUUUGUAGCAGCUGGUGUUUGUAACAAUAAGGUGUUGCUGCGGUUUAGCUACUACGAUCCCUACGUGUGGCAUGUGUACGAAGCACAUCCGCCGCUUGCACUGCGGCUUUAGAGCUUUCUUUGCACCGUUGUGUGCGCUCUUGAAAAAACAAUCGAUGAUGUGGUUUGGACGAAGAGGGUCCGCACAGACAGGGGACAAAUUAAAAAUCGUAUAGGGAUUAAUGUGCGAGGUGAAACUUAAGCAAGAUGGUGAAGUAGCCGCAAAACGGCGGGAUGGGAGUUCUCCCGCCAACAUCGAAGCCGAGCUUUCGCACACCAAGCGUGCGCGCAGAUGUAGUGCUCAUUUCUCCCUACCCUGCUGCCGAGCUUCUCUCAGAUGAUUCAUUCUUGAGCAGUGUAUCAUUUGUCUCUCAACCGCAGGUUACAGGCCUUGAUGUCAACGUCAUGACCCGAGGAGCUUCCUGACAGUCAGUUUCGCGAGUGAGUGUUUCACGAAUUCUGAGAACAAAAAUUCGGAGUCGGCCGAGGUCUGAAGACGCACACCAGUGAUGGGGGCAGCAGGGGAGACGGCAACAGCCCCACCCGCCGCCUCCAAGGGUCCGAAGACCAGCAGCGGUCCUCCCACAUCAGGUGCGACGACGUCCCCGACGCCCAUUGCGUCGCAUGACCCGAACGCGCAGGCAGGCGCGGCGGGGUACAAUGAAUGGUUGGCAGCGUUCCAGGCGUACUACCAGGCGGGAGCACAACCUCCCGCGGGAGGGUUUCCGCACCCCUACAUGUGGGGAGGGCAGCCCAUGAUGCCGCCUCCCUACGGGGGGCCGCACCCUUCUUACGGCGCCAUGUACCCUCCCGGAGGAAUGUAUGGGCACCCGAUGUACGGGCAGUACGGGACUCCGACGCCGGAUGGAAUGGCGGGCGCGGAGCAGGGCGCGGACGGGAAGGCGGAAGCGAAGGGGAGCGAUGGCGGUAAAGCGGCACCUUUGAAGAGAUCGAAGGGCAGCAAGAGCAGCCUGCAGCUACUGAAAGUGAGCGACAGUGGAGGCAAGGGGAACGGGGUGUCGCAGAGCGUGAGCAAUGGCGAGGAAGGAGAGCACGACGGCGAGACGGGGAGCGACGAGGGCGGUUCGACGGAUGCGAGCAGGGAGGAGAAUGCGCAGAACCUGUUGGGAGGGAAGCGGAGUUUCGAGCAGCUGGCGAUGGAAGCCGUGGGAGCUCCGGCUUACAUGGGCACUCCGGGCGGCGCAGCGGGGGUUCCAGGGGGUGCAGUGGGGACGCCAGGGCCAGGAGGAAGCUUGGACAUGAGCUUGGACUACUGGACUGCAGGGUCAGUGCCGCAGGCGAAGGGGGCAAUGCGGGCGUCCGGGAGCCCGUCGACGAGCGCUCCGCCAGCGGAGAUGUGGCUGACGGACGAGAGGGAGGUGAAGCGGCAGAGGAGGAAGCAGUCGAAUCGAGAGUCUGCGAGAAGAUCGAGAUUGAGAAAGCAAGCGGAGUGUGAGGAGCUGGGCAUGCGAGUUGACUCGCUGACUGUAGAGAACGUGUCCUUGCGGACGGAGUUAAGCCGGAUGACCGAGGAGUGCAAGAGGCUGCAGGCGGAAAACAGCAGCUUGAUGCACAAGGUGCGUGGCAUAUCAGGUGCGGAGAUGGGUGGUGCGGCGGGUUCCGGCGAUGUGGCCUCGGCAGGCGGAGACAACGAGGCAGUGGUGUCAGCAAAGGAGAUCGAGGAGUCUCAGAGCAACGGGAACGGGCACGCGACGAAAGCAAGAGACGAGAAGUCAGGCGGUAAGGGGAACGGGAGUGUCGAUGUAGGGGUGAUUGAUCGAUGGAUUGGUGGACCGGGGGUUUUGUAGGAUGUGGGGUGUGCAGUGUUGAUUGGGUGGUGGAAGCUGUGGAUAGUGUUGGCGGUGGGGACUGGUGAGGAGGGUGUGAGAGGAGAGCAUUGAGGCGUAGAGAAGCGUGAGGAAGUGUUGCGCAUUUGGUGGGUGAAAGCGCGCAGCGGGCGUGGGAAAGGACGAUGGGGUUGUGAAGGUUUGUUUAUAGUUUUGGGGUGGUGGUUGAGGCUGGAACGCAUGUGUUGGGGCGUUGGUGUUAUGGUGGCGGCGUGCAGACGCGGAGGGUGAGGGGGUUGUUGGGAUGGAAAGGUCGGACAGUGAUGGGGAGUGACGCGGUGCAUUGGGGUGGGGCGCAGGGGUGAAAGGUCAAGAGGAGGCGGGUGCGGCUGCAUAGGCGUGGAGACAUUGGGUGGGGGGCGGGGGUGAUAGGAAUCGAUUUUGGUAUUUUGGGUGGGUUAUGUAGGAAGCGGUGACGGAAAGAAGUGGUGACAACCCUGCACAAACAUUACAAUUCUUCAAGGGAUGGGCGCGUCCUGUUCAAGGGGUGGUUGGUGACUGGGAGUGGGUGAAGUGAAGAGAGAAUUUCACUGGUGCUGCGCUGGUCCAGCAUUCUUUGGGAGUAGCAGGGAACGCUCGGCUUGAUGUUUUUAGGAUAGUGGUAGUUGGUGCGAUUUUGUGGUGCCAUGCUUGAGUGACGGGAGUUGGCUGUGUACAUUUGGAUACUCUUUGAACAACGGUGGUUUCACUGAAAGUUGAGAGUGAACAUGGGUUGGAAAUUAUAUGCGAGCGUUAUUUGCAGGCACAUGAUUACUCAGUCUUCACAGUCAUGUGCUUUAUAUUGGGUUCAAUUCGGAUAUUAGCUUUAGGGGUUAGACACAUCCUUCUCAACAAUUUCUUUGUCCAGGUCAUUGCACUUCAGCAGUCGGCAUUUGUAUCUAUCAUUUCAUGGAUUGGGAAAUUACUUAUCGAUUUAUUUUCAUUAUUCAAUUUGUUUACCUCGCAUGUAUUGUGGUGGUUUUCUUUUAAUUAAGCUCUUUUAGAAUCAGUAGUUUGCUAUGAUGAGUUGGUUUAUUCUUUGAUUGCAACGCGUCUCUGAUCUCAAAUGGUCAUCUGUUCAUUAGGCAAGGAUCUAAUUGUUUUUAUUUUUGCUUUCUCCAUCGCGCAGCGAUUCAAUCUGAAUUAUUAGUAUGCAGGGGUUUGUUACAAGCUUUUUGAGAUACCUCUUUCAGUUCAUUGGACAAGAAAUUUAGAAGCUGAAGAUGACGAUGUUGAUUACCGUAAUUGUUCUGGUUUCUGUUUUUGAUGACACUUAACUUCGCAACUUUGCGGGUCUAAGGUUGUGUCACGUCCUUGUUGCAUAUCGGCCGUGAAUGUUGACUGCAGCGAGCAUUGAAAGAUCGUAUGGCACUAUGUGAUGCACCUGCUAUGCCUGGGUGUAACAUUGACCUACAUAUUCUGGCGCUGCGGGAUGUUUUAUAGCGUAUAGUGACUUUUUCAUAGCAGUCUUGAUACGUCGAGACUGUAACCUCCAUCAAGAUCACUGCAUGAUUUUCAGGCGUGAGGACAUGAUGGAUAAUUGGACUGCAGUUUAUUAUCUCUUGCACUUUUGCGAAGUUAAGUGUGAAACUAACCCUGACAAGCCUUCACCGAUGCUACGUCGACACUGGUCACAGCUUCGCUGAAUAUUUUGUGACGGGUUGAGAAAUGGAGUCUUUUUGUGAAGAAACUGAUUCUCCAGACAUUUGACCACAGGAAUGAAAUGAUUUUAAUUGUGUUAAAAGUCGGAUGCUUUCGGCAGUAUCAUCAAGGUAUCCUAUAAAGUUACAUAAAAAGCGUGCCAGUCGCAUUCGUCAAUGACAAAUAGACGUCACAAUAGGACUACUUCCUGCGAUUGGUAAAAUUAAUUGAGACUCAUAACUGAAAUGAGCAAGCCUUCCUGCGAUUGGUAAAAUUAAUUUUGAGACUCAUAACUGAAAUGAGCAAGCCUUCCUGCGAUGGGUAAAAUUAAUUUUGAGACUCAUAACUGAAAUGUGCAAGCCUUCGUGCUCAACAACUAGCAUGGCUUACAUGCAGAUUAGCUGUCCAACAAGAAUCGAAUGUUCCAAGGCUUGAGAGAAACAGUUUGACUGUAAUCAACAAACCCUAGGGACAGACAAGAUGCUUCAAAAUCUUAGCCAUUUCCGCUCCUUUUCCUUGCUGUUAACUGCAUGCGUUGUGGUGGCAUGAGCCGCUUCAGCAGAUGCCAAGGCUUUCCGAGCCUCUACUAACUUUCGGCCAACAGCCUCAUAUACAACUUUCUCCUUGCGGUUCCGAGUAGCCAUCUCCUGCAAUUUGCUAACUUUGCUACGAAGCUCCUUAAUUUCAUCUUCAUGAGCUACUAUUGUUUGCCGAUUGGCCUUCUCUAGUGACUGCUUAUCACUGACUGAUCCACUACAGUUGGUUUGAGAACCACCAGGCCUAACCUUACUGGAUUUAGUAGCUGAAACCUGUUGACCAGUGAGAUGAUGAUUGAUGAAGUCAAAAACAUUUCGAGUUUCUUCAAUAACCUCCAUUUUGGACUUGGCUGCUCUUUGUGCGUUAGCCCACUUUUGAUCACGCUUCCUCUUCCCACCCCUGGACUUUUUUUUUUUAGCAGUCUUUUCAGCGUCCCCUUGUUCUCCAUCUUGGUUAUCCUGACCAAAUCCCAGUGACUGCUUGGCUGGUCGCAUCUGAACCUUCACUGGUUGUAUAAUACCUUGACCAGAUACACCUAGUCCCAUUCCCUCACGAAACCCCAUGCUAGCCAUCAUCUUGGAAGCCACUCCGCGAGUGUGCUUCUCCCAAUUUGCAAAAGUAACUGUCUCUGUUUGCACACCUGCACAGAAUGAUCCAAGAGUAGGACGUUCUUCUUCGUCCACAAAAUCAUCGCUUUCAUCCCCAUCUUCAUCUGAGGUGUCUGAUGCAUCACUAAGUAAUGCGUAUUCGGACUGUGCAAGGUCAUCUUUAUCGACGUCCAUUCGCUUUCCAUCAGCACUAAAUACAAUCGUGGCACGCUGCUGUCCUUCGUCCCACAACUCUAGCUCUGCAGCUCGCCAUAGCCCGUUUCCAGCUUCCGCCAGGACUGCAGAUCCCAAUGGUAUUUGCUUCCAUUCAGGAGCCUCGUAAUUGCGCAGAGCAUUCAAAUGGGCUUCUAAACCUGCGAACAGGAUGAACAAACAUCAUCAGAGAUCAUGAACAACGAGGCUCAAGUAACAAACGGCAUUCCUGGGCAGAAUACGCAAACCAUCUCAUUCACCAUCUAGUGUGUAGCUUCGCUGAGUUAAGCAUAGAUUGAAGAGCACUGUAACCCAAACAUGUUGAGGAAUAAAACAUAUUAAUCACAAAUGUAAAGCGCAGUACAUAGAGGAGAUCGAAAUUAGGAAGAAGGAAACUCGAGAAUACAGGUCGCGUUCAAUUAAACAAGGUCAAAUCCUGUUCACUUUAUCAGGCGUGCCAUGCGAAUGAAAAGCAUACGUUGCAGAGAAUGACUGCAUACCAUGAGAUAGACGGCACUUAUUACCAAAUCGACAUUGUUGCUGCAGGAAAAACCUGCACAUCUAUAUUUCCAUCGCACUGCUUUAAAAACUUGUCCUUACACAAAAGCCAACUGUCAUCCACAAGUGCAAGAUGACUUUUUUCUCUUGUGGCAACUGGCUCGAUAUUGAAGAAUAAAAACCGACAAGUAGGGGGACGUUGAAAAUCCGUGACUACGAAAUUGAGUACACUAACAUUCUAUGUUUAUCGUCCUCCACAGGGUUCCACUCUUCGACAGAGUUCUGACCAGAUAAAAGCUGCGACAGUUUUGAUGUCAAAAAGUCUUACCUGCAAUUUUUCGGAAGUUGGAUGUAGAAAAGCCACACGAGCGACAGAGUCAUCCUCCAUGCCAAGAAUACAACCAUUGUACCAUCUCCCAUCGCUAUGACGAAAACGGCAUUUAGAACCGACUGAGAACGGCUGGGGAGGGACCACAUCCCCCAUAUCUGACCUAGAAACCGACUGAGGCAGCUCAUCAGCCACCUCGAUUUGUCCCCCUUCAGAUGGAGAUUCCUGCCGCUGAGUCAUGGCAUCUACCUCUCGAAGUAGCCGAGCACGCUUGAGGUGUAACAGGCUUUCUUCUGCUCCCUUCACAGCUUGCUGUAACUCUUCCCGAAUCUACACAUCGGCACUUAACAGUUAAGUUAAUACUUAGUGAGCGUAUCACGGAUAGGAAUAAACCACAUGGUGCUCAUCGACCAGACCCUCUUUAAUAUGUGAGUCUAAAUCACAUCAAGAGCAUCAAGUUGUAGUAGGGUCGUAAAUCGGAAACCAAAGGGGAAAAUGCUAGAAGGAGAAAUCAAACACCGGGAAGUCAGAGAUGCUUGAUUUCUGAAGGGCAGGUUGAUGGUUUUCAAAGAUAAGAAGAAUACGGCAUGGGUUGUGAUCAACUUCCAACUCUUAAUCAUCAAAAGACUGUGGAAGGUAUUCAAAUAGUCUAAUACAUAGCAAUACAUACUUGUAGUAAUCAUUCGAAGACAAUUGAAACAGCAAAUUCGUGUCAUUGUAGAUAAAUUUCACAAGAAAUUCUCCACUAGCGCAAGUUCAUUCCUCACCAUCUUUCAGCUUCUAUACAAUUCAGAUCGAAAUGCCUCGCAAUUAGGGUCUCAAUGUAAGUCGUGUGUCCUUACAAUUUGUCAGCAAUUUCAAUGACUACUGCCAAAUCAUCCUCAGUGGCUUCAUUUCGCUGCACUACUGACCCACGGGCUUCUACUAAUCGAUCAACGACCAAACAGUCUAGAACAGUAUAAUCUGUGCCGAUUCCACUCAGAGCCUUAAUUUCACCUCAGAAUCAAGCUUUCGGGAGAAAAGGCAGGCAUGACGUAGGCCAUGCUCGUUUCCGUAAUCUAAAGUUCGGUAAACUUGCAGAACAUUGAAGAAAAGAGGAAAUACGAGGCUUCAGUAGACCAAGGACCUCAUAAAUCAAUCACCAUUUUGAUGCUCAUCGCCAAUCCCAGAUGCCAAAUAUUUUGCCAAGCAAAGAAAACCCACACUGUCUGAAAAUAUCUUCACUAAAAAUGAAAGUAGAAUAAUAAUACUGACCAUGAUUAGCUCGGAAUUGUUAAAAUCCACUGCAAGAGCUUCGUCAACGGCCUGCAGGGACGCCCGAUUCUCCUCCAAGUGGGUUUCUAGCUCUCCUUCCAGCGCGGUCUCAUCAUUCGCUUCGCCCAUUGCGACCAAACCCUAAUUACUCGAAAAAUCGCGCGUCGAGGCAAUCCGCAAGCACUAACAUGAAGCUGGCGGUCCAUGCAUCAUCCACGAUCUUCAAUUUUGCUCGUCAUCGGCCAAGACGCCGCAAAAACGAAAGUAGGGAGGCAAACCCAAACUCCCGGAUGAGCUCAAUGAUAUACUGCGUUCACACUUGCUAUGGGUGGUGAUGUUUGUACCCGCCCUUACCCUCCUAUUCCCGCCGUGAUAUGGAGGAGAGCAAAACAUGUUCCGGUCAUGUAGUUCUUCGCAAGGGUAAUGGUUGAUCAAGCGCAUUCAUGGCAUGUUUCUCAGCACCCAGAACAUCAUCGGUGAAGCUUCAAGUUAACCUGCAUGCCAUUGGCGAAGACCAUGGCCUUCAACUGGUGCGCUUGCCCUCAUUGUUUUCGAAGCGUAGCGUAAAUGAGUAACUUCUGUACUCAUGGGGUUAGGAGUCUGCGUAUUAUCUUCGAAGUUUGGCGCUGCAUUGUGAAGGAAUGAAAUACACUUUGUUGAGUCUAUUCUGAUCUUGAGGCGAAUGGGGACGAAUGCUCCUCGUAGCUUGUAAGUGUGAGGGUUGUAGCUAUUGAACGCAGACACAGUUUCCAUCGCUGUAGCGUAGUGCCACACGCAACCCUGGAAUUCAAGGGUUAUCGUUUCUGGCUUAGCUUACAAGAUAAUUUUUCUAGCCAGUAAAUGUCCAUUGUGCCGUCAGUAGACAACAGGGAAGAAAAGUGAGAAUUCUCUGUAGGAUUCAAGCACGAUCGCCUCAAAACCACCACUAUAUAAGACUGUUUUGAAUGAUUCUUGCCCAGCUUCUAUCACCGAUUCCUUGCUGCCUCUGAAUGCAAGAAUUUAGAACUAUAAUACCAACGUUCAAGGAGAUGGUAGGUGCAAUCGCAAGCUACUGAUACAGUUUUCGUCAUGAGGAUUAGGUCGAAAUUGCGUGAAGGCUAUUCUCGUGAUUGGAACCAUUUCGGUGGAUCUUCACAUGUGUAUUUUGGCUGUGUUCGUUGGAAGCUCCAGCUGUCUUCGGAAACCCAACCCUAACCCUAGCCCUAAUUUGGCCCUAAUCCAGGUUUAAAUGCGUCUGAAGAAUUCUAGUGAUUGUUUUGUAAGAAGUUGGGUGAUAAUGUAUUGUUUGGAGAUGAAGACACUUUUCGAAUCGGUUUGAACUUCAUAGAAAAGAAAGAGAGGAGUGGGUCAUGGAUAAAUCGCCUCCUGUUUCAAUAUGUGUAAAUUGGCUUUGUAUGUGUAUAUUUGUUUUGUAUUUUCAUGUAUUUUGUUAUUGCGAUUUAUUUGUAUUGAAGUUGGAAAUUGUUGAAAAGCAAUCUUGAUGUUUUUGUUUAUUUCAUAAACAUGGAAUUGCAAAUUUUCUGUGUGGAAAUCAUAAUUCAUUCUUUGUUUUUAAUUGAUUUAUGUCGAAUAAGUGAUUUAGUUAUACUAUUUUUAGUGUUUUAUCAAAUUCUUGUGAAAAAGGUGUAAUUAUACAUAAACAUAUCAUGAAAUCACAAAAAUCAACAGUAUAUAUGUGUAUACCAGCAUUGAGGGUGCUUGGUAUGCUUUGGGAGUAGUAUGUUGAAGCAUGGUAUUGUUGUAAAAUAAUAUACAAUAUAAUUAUAAAUCACAAUGUAAAAAAUGUAACUACACAUAUUUUUAUAUGUUUUAUGUAGUUUGUUAUAAAUCAUUGUUUAGAUUUCGUCAAUGCAAUCUCUCUCUCUCUCUCUCUCUCUCAAUAUACAUAUAUAUAUAUAUAUAUAUAUAGACAUGUGCACAUUUAUUACACAUAAGUAAUUUGCAAUGUUUUUUGAAAUAGCAGUUUCAUAAAUACACCAAUGACUUUCUUGUAAACCAAUCUUGAAUUUCAAAUAUUUUUAAUUUAUGAUUAAUGUUGAUAAAAAUAUUCUGAUGUGAUUCAAUUCACUUUCAUUUGAAUGUUAUUAUUAGUGCUUUGAAAUUGCAGACCUCUAAAACUAUGGUAAUAUCUUUUCAGUAAAUUUAUUGUAUAACUAUAAAUAUAUAGAUAUACAUAUAUUUUAAGCUCUUUUCUUCUUGUUAUUUAUCCCUUUUAAGAAUCAAAUAAUCAUGCUUAGGGAUAUGUCUCAACUUUGACUCAAUGACCAAAUUUUCUUUACCAGACAACACACAAGAAACUGUAACAUAUUUGAUGACAAAACAACCAACAACUGAAAUACCAAUUAUUACAAAUAACUUUAAUCAAAUUCUCAAAUACAUACUUUAAAACCCCAUAUUGUCUUGAUUUCCCUUGGAGCAACCUAUGCAAUCCAUGGGCAAACUUAGGGGCUUGAUGAAGCAUGUUAAGAACCCAACAAUCCUUACCCUCAUAGACUCAAGUUAAAUGAAUGCUUGAUGUUUGCCCAAUAGGGUAAUUCUUAGUAAGUGCUAGAAGCUACAAAGACCAAGCACACAUGCAACAAUCAAACACAAAAACAUAAAAAAGAGAAAAAAGUUUUUUAAAAAAAACAUAGAAGACGAGAUUGGAAACCAUGAUCCAAACCCCCUUUUUAAAAAAUAAUAACAAUUAAGAUCACCACACAUAUAGGCACAUUGUGAAGCACAAUAACAAACUUUUAUAAGCUCCAUGUAAUUAGCACUAAUUUUUUAGGAUCAAGGCUUAGGACAUAUCAAUAAAUGGUGGGUUACCCCUGACUUCGAAUCCCACCCCACCCAACCAACCAAUCCUCAACACAUUCA
This 59162-nucleotide long non-coding RNA is filed under the name Physcomitrium patens. The record is from RNAcentral. Lineage: Eukaryota; Viridiplantae; Streptophyta; Bryopsida; Funariales; Funariaceae.